AAAACUUCAAAUACCCCCAUGUGGUUUCACUUUUUCUCACUUUAGUACCCUAUAGUUUAAAAUGUAUCAAGUUAGUCCCAAAUCCGUCCUACCAUGAUCCGUCCCGAAUUCGCCCCGAAAAUUAUUUAUAUUUUAAAAAAAUAUUUCUAAAAAGUAAUGUAUUUACAAAAAAAAGUUCAAAAUACAAAUAAGUUGUACUCUUAUUUCUAAUGUAUUUGAAACUUUUCAAUUUUGUUUUGAAUUGUGAUUGAUAUUUUUUAUUUUUAUAAUUAAUAUUAUUAAAUUAUAUAUAUAAUAUUAUUAAAAAUUAUUAAUUUAUAUUUUAUAAAAUAUUAAUAAUAUUAUAAUUUUAUAAAAAAUAUUAGUUGGCGGGCGGAUUCGAAGCGCAGGCAGGAGGCGGGUUACGAGACGGGGUGGAUUAUGGGAUAUAUUUUUUAACCCGUCACGGAUUCGGGACGGAAGGCGGGGUGGAAUUUUGCUAGUCGGGGUGGGAAGCGGGGCGGGGCUCCCGCCCACAGAUCCACCCCGUUUGCAUACCUAAACCUCAAUCAAAAAACAAAGUAAAGAUGGGGUCAUUUCAAAUUGCCCUAUAGUACACACGCAGAUUUUCUCCCAAUAGGAAAGCCAUUACGUAAUAUUAGAAAAAUUAAUGGCUCAAAGCAAAAAAAAAAGUGUUAUAAAAGCUAUAAAAAAUUAAGAUAAAUAUUUAGAUCUUGAAUAUUACAUCUAAUAAUUUUAAGACUAAAAUACAUAAAUUUUCUUGCAAAUACCUAUUUUUUAUUUUUUCUCUCAUGACUCUUAAAAAUCUACAUUUUACUCUCUUAAAAUUUUAGAAAUAUUUUCAGAAAUUUAUGGUGUUAAUAAAGAGUGCGAGAUGACCAAACCCCUUCUUAUUCUGUAAAAAAUAAAUAAUUUUUUAAUCUAUUUUUAUUAUUUUUAAGAUUAUUUUUGAUAUAAAUUAUAAAAAAAAAGACGAUAUAGUUACGUAACCCUGACGAAGGAGGGAGUAAAAUACACGUUUUUCAGAGUCAGAGGGGAAGUAAAAAAAAAGUAUUUGUAAGGGAUUUUCUGUAUGUUUAGCCUAAUUUUAAAUAUACAGGUCCACGGUGUACCAGGUCCAGCGAAUAGUUUCUCCACGGGGAGAGCGAGGUUAUUAUGGGGGUAUUAAUGUCGGAGUUAUUGCUCCACAUUAUUUCGAGGGGAACUUGUCCUUAUCGGUCUCAUAAAGGAGCCCACGUGAUCGAUGAACUCGGCACCGGAUUUUGCUUCUUAGUCAUAAUACGACAAGUCGUCGCCGAGUUCUAUAUAACGAAGUCGGCGUUGCGUUAGCUACUCUGCCGGUUUCGUUGAACGCUUUGGAUUCUCCUUGCCUCGGUUACUAUUUAGGAGACAAGUCGUAUUAACGGAUCCAAAUAUUUUUCAGAAUAAUCCACAGAAAAAUAUCGAAUUAAAUUUAUAAAAGCCAAAAUUAGAAAGGAUGGAAAAAUAAAAAUCUAAAAAUUAGAUAUAAUGAUAUGACAUUAAAAAUAUAUUUUUUUAUAGAAAAAAUAAUCUAAAUAUUUUUUGUCUAUUACUUCCGCUAAAAUAUGUCUAGUCAAAUUCUGCCAACAUAUAUAUAAAUUGAGCCUCAAAAUAUAACCGUCUCAACAGUAAAAAGAGCUUUUUGCUUAUUUAUUCCGACUAUUAUUCAAAAUUUUUAAAUUUAUUCUAAAACUAUCAAAAUAUCUUUCUAAACUCUAAUUUUAAUUAGUAAACUCUAGGGAUUUAGGGAUAUUUUAAAAAAAGUUUGGCAUUUCAGUCAACUAUUGGUAUACUAAAUAUUUUUGAAGUUUUAAAUAACAUCUAGAAACUCUUAUUAAUUUUCAUAAUUUUGUACACGUGGCAAGCUUACCUUAACUAUUGGCUGUGAGGCCCAUCUCAUUUAUCCUUUCUUUGAACCUAUCAAUUUUUAAAGAUCAUGUCAUUUUUCCUUCCGACUCUUCAGUAUAAUAGAAUUAUCAAAGACUUUGUGGUUACUCAUUUCAUCUGUUCGGUUUUUGUGUUUUUCUUCUAAACUCAUCAAAAUUUAACUUGAAAUCCCACUCAUCUUUUACCUAAACUCUUUACAAGUUCUCUUCCCCUUCCUUCACCGCACUCCCCUCAGCGCGGUGGUGGCGCAACUGAAAUCGAGACCAGGAACGUGACAAGGAGUAUGACCCAUUUCCCCUUUUUCAACCUUGUCCCUCCCCAAUCUCUUUUAAGAUCAUGAAUGAUCGAUCAAAGAGGAAGAAUAAGCGAUCAAGAUCAAACAUAUUGAGAGAUACGAAGAUCGAUCUCUAAUUGAGCUCAAUUUCAUCGAUCGAUCAAUGUAGAUCCCUAAUUUUGGGAGAACGAUUACGUACGGAAUAUAUAAACCCUAAUUAGAGAUAUGCUGCUCCAAUAAAUAUUCAUUCGACGCAUUGUAUGGGUCCCUGCACUAGUAUAUUAGAUAUUAUUCCAUAGUAAAAAAACUAGUAUCAAACGCAUAUGAUACCACAAUGUACGAUAGGAGAACAUUCUAUUGUGUUGCUGCUUAAUUAUUGGACCUAUUUCGAAAAGAGUUGUAUUAGAUACAUUUUUUUAUUAUUUGACUAAAAUAAAGAAAACCAUAUGCAAAUACCUACUUCUUCUUUUUUUUCCCUGACUUUCAAAAAAUUUAUUUUACCCUCUAAAAAAUUUUAAGUUGAUGCAUUUAGCGCCCCCCCAACCCCCCGUUAAGGUUCCGUUCACUAUUUCGUGUACUUCUUAUAAUUAUAUCAAAAAUAUAUUUAAAAGUAACCAAAAUAUUUUUUUUCUUAUAAAAUAAAUAAGAACAAUUUGAUCAUUUCGCCCACUCUAUUAAUGCUGUAAUUUUUUAAAAAUCUUUUUAAAAUUUUAAAAAAAUAAAAUAUAGAUUUUUGAAAGUUGGGAAGGAAAAGUGAAUACAAAAAAUUUUUGCAGAAUUUUUUUUUUUUUGUAUUUUAGCCGUGUUAUUUACUUGGUAAUAAAGAAAGAGAACAUUGCUCUUAUUAUUGUUGUAUUAAUACGUUGAGUGGGAUUUCGAUCCACAAUAGGUCUAGCGGCAAGAAACCCUACAAUAGACCUAACGUUUAUGUAGGCUAAGUCAGGUCGAAAUUCGUGAGCGCUGUAGCUGAGCCGCCCUUAAAUGCAAUAAAUGCGCUCUCUCUAACAUCAUAUAAUUUUGGAACAAGUGAUUAAUGCUUACCACCUAUACUAAUGUUCAUAGGUCUCUUCCUAUAUAUUUUGUCCCCCUUUUUUUUUUUGUGUGUUUAGAACACAAACUAAGAUUAAGACAAAAUGAAUCUUUUCAUGCAUUAAUAAGAUUAAGACUAAGUUUAGAAGUACAUAACAAGACCUUUUUUUAAUGCACGUGAGAGAUGGAACCCACCAUAUUUUGUCCUUGCUUUACCUACAUCUCACAUGGUGGGGACUCCACCUAGUUUAUGGCGUGACACAUGAUUUUGUCAUCACCUCUUCAAUAAUUAAUGUUGGGGUGUAAAAUGUACCAAUCUCAUUCAAUUGAUUGGAAUCCAACAAUAAAUAUAUAUGCUUGUCGCUUUAUAACCAAACCAAUAUGUGACGGCCCAAUAAUCACAUAUCAUAUUAAAAAAAUUUAUAAUUGUGAAUAUCAGAAUCAUGGUUUCUAAUUCUAAUAAUUAAGUUUUAAGCAUUUUAGAUUGGGAUUUGGGCCUAACAGGUUUAAUCGACGUCAAAUGGAUAUUUUUCUGAUUAUAAAUAUAAAAAAUAAAAAUUCGACAGAUUCGAAUUUGGAUAUGAUUUCUAUUUGUACCCGCCACCAAUCUAAACCCGAAUAAGUUUUAUAUUAUAUAAUAUAUAAAAAUUUGAAUUUGUACAUUAAAAAAUUAGAUUUGAUAAUAAUACUUUCGGGUUCUGGUUUUUGGGUUCGGAUUUUUGGUUUCAGAUUUUUUGUCAGGUUAGGAUUUGCAAAUGGAUUUUCAUAAACUACUGGUUUCAGAUUCGAGUUAGGGUUUCGGUAUUAAUAGUCGGAUUCGGGUUCGAAUUUUUGAAAAUAAUUAAUUCUAAACCCGACUCGUUGACAUUACGAACUGAGUCGUUAUAUUUGAUAUGAAAGUUGUUCGCAAGCACCCAUCUCAUAUCAAUUAAACAUUUUUAUGCUAGAAGAAGGAUAAUUGAUUAGUCUACAAAUUACAAUGAAAAAAAAAGGGCCCAAAAUCAACAUGAAUUUUAGGUAAAUUGCAAAUGUUAAUUAAAAACCUAAUAUUACUUAAAUACCUAAGUUACAAGAUUAAUUAUAUAAAUAAUUAUUUUGUUUCUGUUAAAUAUUUUUUAUGUAUUACUAUCAAAGUUCCAAAUAUUGUCAGCACAGGAGUAUCACAUGGUUACAAAUAAUAUGUAAAUUCCGACCUGAACUUACGCUAAAUUAUAAAUCAUUGUCCGAACUUUUUUUUACCUUUGGUGCUACAAAGAAAGUUUUUUUUAAAAAAGAAAAAACCUUUUUCUGUAUGUGAUAGUUAUGUGUCGACAUUAUUUGCGAGAUGCGACAAAAAAAUUUGAGACAAAUGACUGAUUCUAAUAAAUUGCUCAUUCAUAUAACAAAUUCAAUCUUAUUUAGAUAGCGAUUUGUGUUUGAGAUGAAGUUUAAUAGGUUUUGUAGUUUUUUUCUCAUUCCAAUAUUUGAAGAAGCAUAUGGAUUUGGAGCCCAAUGUUAUUGGGUUAAGGUUUGGAUUCCAAAAUGGUUCGGCCCGAAUUCGCCCCGAUUUCACCCUCUGGUGGGGCUAAGCCAAGUUGGCCGUUUUGAUAUAACAAUUGAUUAAAUACAAUCAUAAUGUGACGUUCUCAGGAUUUGAAAUUUAUAUAUAGUAUAAUAAGACUAAAUCUUUUUAUUCGAUUAUACCAUUUUGGGCUAUGGUUGAAUUCAUGAUAUUAAGAGGAUUAAGUAUGUUAGGGUUAAAGUAGUUUUAGGAUUUGUGACUCCUUUUUUGAAGCAGGACAUCACAAUUGGUAUCGGAGCCAAUCAUUAAUCGGAAGUAUGAGAUGGAUCUUGGCUGAGCUCAGAUCAUAUAGCGGGAAGAAUAUUGCUCUCCAAUUGACGACUGUUGUGGGUAGAGCACAGAUUCCGCAAGAUGGCUAGUUAAGGCUAGCAAUACGAGUCUCAAAUCGUCUGUUGCUUGUGAGUGUACUUGAGCCUUGCAAGGACGUCAGAACUUAAAAGGAAGGAAUAUGAUACUUUCAAAUUUUGAAAUAGUCAUGUGUAUAUAUAUGGCAGUGUUUGGAUUGGGGAUAAGGGGAGGGAUAACCCCUUAUCCCCCUCUUUAUACCCAAAUGCAAAUUUUUUACCCCAGAAUAGUAGUAGUUCUAGGAUUUCUGAAAUAAGCUGGUAUAACUAUCUCCACUAACACCUCUAUUUUUUAUAUAUAACUAUCCAUUAUUUUUCUUAUUCCAUAUUAUCUAUCCAAACACUAUUUUUCUUAUCCCCGGGAACAACCCAAUUUUCAUCCAAACGCUAUUUUGCUUAUUUCCAUACUUGUACCUAUCCCUGUAAUAGCUAGUUCUUGCUUAUACCCGAACCAAACGGGAUAAUAUAUGAUAUGACCAAACUUUUUAACCUGGUUAUAGCAUUUGGGAUGGUGGCUAGAUCUAAAAACUUAAUAGGGUUAAAUGUGGUAGAACUAGAAUAGUUUUAGAAUAGAUGACCCCCCAGAAAGCAGAGUGUGACACAUGAAUUGUUCGUCUUUAUCCUAAUUAAACAUUAAUAACAUCGACAUUAUGGUAAACAAAAUUCCCAUUUCCAUUAGCUGCAUUUUCUUCUUCUACUUUUAGCUACAGUUAUUUUUUGCAGAAUGUUUAUCGAUGCAAAAGUUUGGAUCCAACUGUGGUAUAAAAUAGAUUUAAGAUUUCACAAUUCAAAAACAAUGCAAUUUCUAUAACUUUUCCAAAUGGGCCUGUACAGGAGAUCUAUGCUUUCAUCUUACAAACUUGCAAAGCUUAAGAUCUAAAUUGGCAAACCAAGCCAACAGGAGAUGCUGGCAAAUGCUCCUAGGGCUGUUUGGCCUAGAUUUAAAGUCUCAAUUUAAAUUUAAAAAUUUGAGUUUAAAAUUAUAUUCAGAUUUUAAAAAGCAGACUUUAACUGCUUCUAAUUUGAGCCUCUAAAAUUAAAAACUUAUUUUAGGAAUCAAAAUCAGAUUUUAAAAAAGAGAUUAUUAAAUUCUUUAUUGAAAGAAAAUUCACUUUUAACCUUAAAAUCACUCUGCUUAGAUGAAAACGGACUUUGGAACGGUCCCUUUCUAUGUGCCAUCUUAUGGCUUGCCCAAAAGAGCCCUUAUUCCAGUUGUUGUGGUUAAGUUUGAGAUACUUUCAUACAAAUAAAAAGGUAAAAAUAUAUAGAAUAUCCUUGACUUCAAAAUUUAAGCUAAUUUUUUGCUCCAAUGAAUUUGUAAUUGCGUGAAUUAUAAAAAGUAGGCUAACUAAAUAUAUAAAGAUAAACGUCAAAUUUGAAAGUCGAAGUAUCAUUGACUGGCUCAAAUCAAAUAAAUUAAAAGAUUUGAUAGUAAAUCAAAAUUUUGAAAGAUUAUAUAUUUAAUUCAAAAUUAUCCAUAAUUCAAGUAAGUUACAUAUGUUUUGACCCAAAUACUGUCACUAUAUAUUAUGCAUGUAUUAAUGUAUUAUUAGCGCUCCAAAGUCUUAGAACUUUUUGCUGUGUGCAGUAGGCCCAUGAGACUAAUAAAUUAAGUUAAAUGAGUCCAACGUUGAGUGGGACUGUGGUCCACAAGAAACCUAACGUUAAGAUGGAUUCAAUUAGGAUGAAAUCUGUGAGCGCUAUGGCUGAGCUUUUAAAUGUGAUGAGUGCGCCCUUAGUAUUAAUAUGUACUUUUAGAAUAGUUAGUCGGCGCUUACGAUCCAGAUUCGAUCUCCGGUGCUCCUAGGGAUGUCAAUGGGUAUGAAUAACCGAAAUUUUAUCUGAACCCGAACCCGAAUGAAACGGAUAUAUCCGAUAUUAAAUGGAUAUGAAUAUCAAAAAUAGAAACCCGACGGAUAUGGAUUCGGAUAUGGAUUUUGAGUUUACCCGACCCGAACCCGAGCCCGACCCGAAACUGAAUUUAUUUUAUAUUAUAUAUAAUAUAUAUAUAAAUUCGAUGUUAUCUUUGAAUUUGUAUUUUAAAAAUUUAGAUUUAAUAUAAUAUAUUUUGAAAUAUUGAAAAAAGAAAUACUUGUUUCGGGUUCAAAUUUUCGGGUUCGGGUUCGGGUUCGGGUUUCGGAUUUUUGGUCGGAUUCAGGUUUGGAUAUGAAUUUUUAAAAUUUAUCGGGUUCGGGUUCGGGUUCGGGUUCGGGUUCAGGUUUUUGAAAAUCCGCCCCAAAUCCGACCCGUUGACAUCUCUAGGUGCUCCUGUGGUUUUGGAGGAGAUUCUUGCUGUUCCAAUGGCCACAAAAGAGAGCAAUUCUUUCCUCAUAAAGAUUUCAUAAGCCUAACUGGCUGAACUAACCUGGCCCAAAGAACACUUGGCACCAGGUUUUUAUACUCAAAAAGUGGAUUAGAUCCUAAUUGUUGGUCCAACAAUUCAAAGUUGUAUUACUUUGGCAGGGCCAGGUUUGGGGGUAUACUUUGAACUUCUAAUCUUUUAUAUACUCUCUUCUAAAAACUUGAGAAAUAUCUAAUAUAUUUCUGAUUGACCAAAAUUCUCUUCGAAUUUCAAAUUCUUUUUUGAAAAAUCCAAAAACUCUUAAGGGUUCGGUAAUGGGAUUGGAUUUUAGAAAGAUAUUAUAUUUGAAAAUUUCGAAUAGUUUUGAAGUAUAAAUUAAUAAGCAAAAGCUCCUAUUUUGUUUAUUUUCAAAACACUAUAUACUAAAUUUCCUAGAUAGAAGUAUCAUGAUCAUGGAUAAUGUUUCAAUUAUGAGAAAUAUCUCACCAUAACUUUUUGCUGCAAAACAGGAAUAAGAUUUUGCCCUUUAAAAAAACCAUUGUAGAAUAGGAAUAAACUUUUGCCUAUAAUCUUCUUUGUCUAGAACAUGAAUAAUCUCUUGUAUCUUCUCUUGCAGCGAAAAUAAGAUCUUUACCGCCACGGUUAUUAAUUAAGGGAAAAAAUUAAAAUUUUUGGUAAAUUAGUCCUCAAACUUUAAUUUGUCGUAAUUUCUGGUUCGAACUUUCUGAAUUAUUGUGAUUAAAUUUCAUAAUCCAAUUUAGUUGGCUAAAUAUCGUCAAAUUAUUGACACGGAAGUAUUGCAGCAUUUUAAUUAUUGUUGCAUUAUUAAUCACGAUAUUUUCACAUUAUGUCUACAUUAAUAAUUUAUUAUUUAACCAACUAAAUUGGGUUGUGAGACUUGAUUACCAAUAAUUCAAAAAGUCCGAGUUAGAAAUUACAACAAAUAAAAGUUUGAGAAUCAAAGUGACACACGUCUCAUUCUUUGAGGACUAAAAGUAUAAUUUAUCUUAAAUUUUUUUUGUUCCAUGUUUGUUGAUUAAAGAGAAGAGAUGUUGAGAGAAAUCAUUGAUUAGAAAGGAGAGAUACCCAUGAAUAGGGAUGUCAACGGAUCGAAUUUUUAAAAAUCCGAAUCCGAACCCAACUACAAACCUGAAAUCCGAACCUGAAUCAAAAUCCGACGGAUUUUAAAAAUCCAUAUCCAAAUCCGAACUCAACCAAAAAUUUGAAAUCCGAACCCGAAUCCGAAAACUUGAAUCCGAAAUUGUUAUUUCUCUUUAUCAUAUUUCAAAAUAUAUUACAUUAAAUCUAAAUUUUUAAAAUAUAAAUUCAAAUACAACAUCAAAUAUUUAUAUACGUAUAAAUUUAUACCCGAAUCCAAAUUUGUCAUAUUUUUAUUUUUAUUUGUUUUAUAUCUCUUUCGAAUUAAGUAAAUCCACUUUGUUCGGAUUCGGAUUCCAAAAGUUAUCCGCACCCGUUAACAUCCCUAAUCGAGUCGCGCUCGAAACCUCUCUCUACACCUAAAAAACGCACUGUUAAAAAGAGCGGCAAAACCCUUCUCUCUCUCUCUCCUCGCUCGCGUUAAUUCGCCAUGAGCGACUCCCGCGAAGGAUCUCCCGAUUGGCUACGAGCAUUCCAGGUCAAUUUCCACCUUUUUUUGAUACAAUUCGUACGCCUAAUUUGUGCUUUUAAUCCUUUGAUGCUUCUCGAAUCAUUGUUAUUGUUCUUCGAGUGAAAGGAUCAAGUCGAAAUUGGAAAAAAGCGGAAUAAAUCGGGGUUAAAUCCUCUUUUUAUGGUGGUAUAUGCUUUUUUCUAGCAUGAUUUGUAGUUUAUUUAUGUUAAAAUUUUGAUCUUUUUUUUUUUUUUUUUUAUCUUAGGAGUGAUUAUUGGUAGUAUUAGUGUCACAUUACCUCAUUUGUAGCAAUUUAGGGUUCAUUUUGAUCUUAAAUCUUCAUCAUUUCGCUGAAUAUGGAUGUGGGUUUGGGACAUUAGAGUUUAUUUGGUAUCUAAGAAUUUUUAUUGGGUAGUAUGAUUAGAGAGUGUUGGUUUGGAACUUUGUAAAUGAAUUGGGUUGAUAGUAUUUUUUUUACUCUUUUCUAGGAUUUAUCUUUCCCAAUUUGGAUCGCCAAUUCACGAGGAUCAUCCAAAUUUACCCUUUUUUUUCCAAUCCUUUCUCCUAUUUGAAUUUCUGUUCUUGGUGAUUCAGGAUGAUAUUUCUUAUUGUUAUUUAGAUAUACAUUUUUUUCUUUCAUCCAAGUCCCUGAAGUUUUAGUCAAGUUUCACUUUAUUGAACUUGUAAGUAGAACAUAUGUCAUUCCAAACUUUUAGAAUUUCUUCACUUUAGUACGUAAACGUAGAGGAAAAAUUGUUUCGUGCAUCUGUGCAUCCAUUCACUGUGAAUCUUCAGUCCUCCAUCCAACUUAAUACUUUCAGUCCUCUGUCUCAUUUGUAAGUGGAGUCUGAUUUGCAAGUGGAGAUAAAGUUGCAAGUCAAUGGGUGGUAGCGAUCGAAAUAUGAGAUGGAUAACGGAAUGGUUCUGUGGUGCACGAAUGUACGAAUGCAUUGGGUGUAGGUAAUAAUAUCUCUUCUAACAAUAAAUAAUGACGAGAACUAAAGUGAAGCACUUUCAAAAGUUUGAAAUGUCGGAUGCCCAAGUCAAAAGUUUGUGGACUAACGGACCACAAUGAGACUUGGCUAAAAGCUUAGGGACUAGAGGUGCAAUUUACCUAAGAGAAUAUAUAUAUCUGAUCUAGCAUAUCCUAUAAUGAGCUUCUAUGUUUCUGCACUUUCACUACUUAUCCAAUUUUUUUACCUGUGAAAGUAAUGCAAUUUUAUGUUGCAGUCUAUUUGAAGAUCUGGUUAGUUUAUUAUCAUUCGAUUUCUUUUUUUUUUCUAUUGCAUCCUACAUACUUGUAAUUGAGGAAGCAAAUUUUUGGAUUCAAUAAUUUGUAUCAAUGCAAGUGAUUCUUGUUGAUACUAUGAGGUUAGCAACUAAUAGAUCACGUUUCUUACAUGAUUUUCACGAGAAUUUUGUUGGACUUAUUAUCUGAUGGAGAUCAUACAAGUUUUUUAGAGUGCAAAAAAGUCUCUGGUCAUCUGGUGUAUUUACUUCUUCAUCACUGCCUCCAGUUGUUUUAGUUUUAGUGGAUAAUUGAGAAUUUAAUGUGACUUGAUUUUGAAACUGAAUUCUGGCCUUAUUCUAUUUCACAACAUUCCGCUUUCUUGAACAGGCACCUAAUAGGGAUGUUGUGACACUAUCUUCUGGUUCUGAUUCUUCUCCCAGAAAUAGCCCGUCGAGGCCUACUACUACGCAUGACAAAGCACCAAAGAGACAUCCGGAGAAUGAUGACUCAAUAGUUAUUGAAAGUGGAGAAGAUAGUCAAGUUAAGGCUAAAAAGGCAAAAAAUGUAAAAGUCGAGAACUGUCCUAUUCUAGUAGAAGGUAAAUUUAAAGGGAUUCAAAUCUAUUAGGUAAUAAUGCAACUGUUGCAGCUUUUAAGUGUACAAAUGCUUGUGUGCAUGCGUGCAUGAAUUUUUGGAAGCACUAGGGUAACAGUGCUUCUGCUACUUUUCUCUUUGGACGGGUUUUGAUAUCCGCGCAUGCACACUUCAUUUCAAGGUGUGUGCCUGCAUGAUGUACAUCAAGCAAGGAUUGUCGUGCCACUAGCACGGCCGUGCAGCUGUGCUGACAGCACGGCAUGGCACGCCUUCCGUGCCAGUGGCUCAUCACUAGCUUUUUGGCACACAUUUGCAUGAAUUCUUUUCAAUUAAAUUGUCAUAAAAAUUAGUUUUUUAGAGUGUUUCAACAUCUCUAAUGAUUAGGAAACUAGUUUAUAUAUUAUAUCUCCCAUUAUUUAAUAGAAAUAGAGUCACAAACAUCAUAAUAACUUAAAAAAAUAAUUUUAUACAUAUUAUUGGAUAAAAAUUUGUAAGAAAACACUGCCAUGGGUAUAUGCAAUAGAUCUAAAAUGAUAAAAAACUUGGAGGAAAUCUUCUUAUUUGUGUAUAUAUAUAUAUAUAUUUACUUAAAGUUGGUCUUAUUAUGAAAUUGAGCUUACUAAUUUCUCCAAGUGUAAGUAGAUUUUCAAGAACUACAAAUUUUAAGUAUGAAAGCACUUAAAAAAACUCUUUACCUCAAAAAAAAAAAAAACUCAAAAAGAUUUCAGAAAAUGUGAAAAAAACUACUUUCUUGAUACCAACCCCGUGCCACGUGCCUGCCAGCACAUGGGCAGCAUGAGGCGGCAGGCACAUGCAAUACUUGGCAUCAAGAUUCCCUCUUAUUAGAGGCGUGCAUACAUGACAAAGCCAAUUUGACACAAAAAAAUGAAAACUUCAGCCCCUCAUUGCCUCCAAAACUAUUCCAGCACAACUCCUUUCUCUCUGUAUUUUAUUUAUUAUUCAUAUAUAUAUAUAUAGAGAGAGAGAGAGAGAGAGAGAGAGAGCUAGGCUGGUAUACUAUCGGUAGCACGAAAGCCGUGCUACCAAGUUGUUUUCAAUGAUGCGGCUUUCAAAUCGACGAUCGGCUCCAUUAGACUUGAUCUACACUAUUAACAGUAUUUGGAAACUAAAUUUCAUAAUUUUUCAACAUCAUUUGGCUUGUGAUCAAAAGGUCUCAAAAUUGACAAUUUUAAUGGUAGAUGUGAUGCAUUUGUGAAUUUAAUGGCGUAAAACAAUCCAAAUCUGAUGAAAUUUUUAUAGAAAUUUUUUUUCACUAUUUAGAGUAAGAUCAAUACCUCUGAUCUUAAAUUCAAGUCUUUUAUCAUUAUUUUUUAUGAGAUUUUUAUUUUCAGCCGUUCAUUUUUAGACUACUCGUUUGAUAGGUAAAUGAUGCCGAAAAAUUAUGAAAUUUAGUUGCCAAAUACUUACAAUAGUGUAGAUCAAGUCUAACGGAGUCGAUCGUCGAUUUAGAGGUCGCAUCAUUGAAAGCAACUUGGUAGCACGGAGGCCUUCGUGCUACCGAUAGUACACCAGCCUAGCUCUCUCUCUCUCUCUCUCUCUCUCUAUAUAUAUAUAUAUAUAUAUAUAUAUAUAUAUAUAUAUAUAUAUAUACAUUCUCAUAUGUGCCCUUCGAACACCCUUGGAAAACAUCUUCUAAAGCAAGACCAACUUCCCUCUUGGAAUUUAUAACUCUCUAACUUAGAAUAAGGGUAUUUUUAUACGAAACUCGACAUCUGAGGAGUGUAUGUGAAUAUUUAAUCUUACACAUGUAUAUAAGCCCCUGUAUUAUUUUACCUUAUUACGAUUAUCUUGGUGUGUUCUAACAUAGAUACCUUGGAUACACAAGAGGACGGACCUGCUGAAGUGGAUAUUAAAGAAAAAUCUAGUGAUCCUCCUGUAAGAUGCUAAAUAUGUGCUGUUUCUCCUCUAUCUUCAUCCGUAUGUGCUAAUGUGUUUUGUUUUUGAGUUAACCUAUGUUUCAAUUCAAAUCUUAUUAAGAUAAUUGACAUUUAAUUAUACUGUGUAAAUUGUUGUUUCCAUGUUAUGUAAACUAGGUGCCGAAAACUAGUAGUUUUACAUGAUCUGUAUGAGCAAAUGAGGUUUAGUAGUGGUUGUUGAUAGGACUGUAGGGACCAGAUGUUUGACUUUUUACCUAUUUCUAUGAUGGAUUUUCUAUUACUCUGUUUGCUUAAUUCUUUGAUGAAGUACAUUUUCUUUUGAACUUUAGGUUUCUCAGAGGUUGCCAUUGAUCUUCCCUGACAAAGUUCAACGUUCAAAGGUACAACUUCUCCUAUCUUUGAAUGGUUGUGGGUUGAAGAGAAUUUCUUCUUUGCUGGAUCUGUUAAUUCAUAAUUUACAUUUAACUAGCUCAUUAAAUUGUUUUUUAUGUAGGAUCUCCACCAAAUAAAAGAAUGGGAAUUUCAAGAGAAAUUUACUUAAUUAUGUAACACUCCAACCAUAAACUUUGGAAGUGCUAAAUCAUAGGCUAGAAGCAGUUUAUGCUUUCUGAUAGCAAGAAAUCUAUGGUUUAGCCAGAUAGUAUCUAAGCAAUCUCAUUCAAUUACUAAAGCUGAGGAUGAUUUAAAGCUAGCAUUUUCGCGUCAUGAGUUUCAUUUUGGAUAUUAAGCUAAAAUUGAAAGUUUCUUAUGCAACAGAAAGUAUAGCCAUAGGAACUCGUAUUGCCAAUGCUUGUAAAAAAUUGUUGCACAAGUUAGACUACUCCCCUAAUGAAAAUCUCAUACUAGACUAAACCUCAUGAAGUUAUUUUGCUAUCAUGAAGUUGUUGUGCUAUAUUCUCUGCUUUAGAUAACUGUUAUAGUAUUCUUGAAUUUUGUUGUCGCAUAUGCCUGUGAUAAAUGUUUCACCACUAUACCCGUGUCUGGGGUGUGAAUGAAUAUACAUCAGGUUUUCACAGCACACAAGAGAAAACCAAAUAGGGGUAUUUUUGCAAUAUUCCAUAUUUGUAUUUGCAGGGGAUAUGUUUUUGACAAAUCCAUUUUACAAUUUGAUAUUGUAGUGACACUGCCUGUUUGGAAGAUUGUCCCAUGAAAACUUGGUUGAUGCAAGAUCAUUGCGAGAUCUAUCAUGUUUUAGUACCAGAAUGUCAUGGGCAUACAUAAUCAAUUCUAAGGGCAUUAGGUUUACUGAUUCUUUUCUAAUUUCAAGUCAAACUACUUCUCCACAUUGAAACUACCUAUAGAUCAUGGGUUUGAAAAUUUGAAAAUCGAAUUUCAGUAGGAAGCUUGAGUCAUAUCUUAAAUUGUGCCAAAUCUGGGGCAUUAUGAAGUUGGGUUCAGACUUCAGACUUGUCUACCUUUACUCAGCUUUACCUUAAUUCUAAAUGCAUUAGGUUUACUGAUUCGUUUCUAAUUUAAAGUUUGAAUCAGCUCUGAAACUACUUGUAAAUCAUGAAUUUGAAACUUGAAAAUUGAAUUUGAGUAGGAAGCUUGAGUCAUUACUAAAAUUGUGCCAAAUUUGGGCACUUUAAAGCUGUGUUCAGACUUCAGACUUGUCUAUCUUUUCUCAUCUUUACCGCGAAGUGUGUGCUGUAUUGUAUCUCCAAUAAGAGUUCAUCUUAUGAGCAAAAAGUAGAUUUUAUUGAAAUUAUCUAAUUGGUUUUGUUCAGUUCCUUCGGUUACAUCCUGUUGAAAUGUAAGUUACAGUAUGGAAACAACAAACUCACUAGAACUACAUUAUCAUAUUUAAAUAUGGAAAAUAUGCCGCACCAUGCCUUCCAGAGAAGUCCACAUAAAUAACCGUAAGUUAGAUUUUUCUACAAAGUAUCUUUUUGGUAGUGCAGUGCGAAAAAGAUGUGUAUAAUCUGACUAUCAGAGUGUCAAUUGUUCUGCUUGAUACAACAAACUUUGGUGAAGAAAUUCACAACAUAUCAAGAGAGUUGUAACCUGUAAGAUGUCAAAUAUUUGGCUAUCGACACUAUGAUUUUUAGUAGCAAUGACUGUAAUUGCUCACUGUGGUGCUUGGCUAUUUUUAGCUGAAGUUGAUUAUGUACAAUAUAAUCUCAGUUCCUCUCUUUUUGGUUUUACAUCUAGGCCCUUGUUGAAUGUGAUGGAGACUCUAUAGACUUGAGCGGAGAUAUUGGAGCUGUUGGACGAAUUGUAAUUUCAGAUGGUCCUGCAGGGAACCAAGAAUUGCUAUUAGACCUAAAAGGUAGCUUUUAAGAACUUUAACAUCUUCAAGUUUGUUAUGCAGCUAAAUGUCAAUAUGCUCAAUUUUAGUCUUGAAUUUUUUUUUCUUUGCUUUUCUUUUUUUUGGAACUUGAAAUUCUAAUAAAGUACAAGUUUUAUCGCAUUAGUGAGGAAAGAAGUGUAUUCUUGUCAGACUAGUAUGCUGAUAACUUAUAUAAUAUUAAUAUCUAUUAAUAUCUAUGAUCAGUUCUUUCAUGGUUUCUUGAUUUUGCAGAAAUAAACAUUAAAGAAAAUGAAGGUCUAAGUUUUAAUUUCUGUUAUGUUUCUCGGAGGAGAUUGAUCUUGUGCUAGAUUGAUCUUGUGCCUACUCUGUCAGCUAAGGUCUAAAUCUUUGCUUGUAGUGAACAUACUGUUACCAUUUUAGAUCUGGCAAGUUUUGGUGUCAUUCUAAAGUCUAAACUUUGGGGAUGGAUGAAUAUGAAUUGAGCCUCUUUCUCUUUCUCUAUUUAUUAUUUUUUUAAUAGAAUCCUAGCUGGUGCUUGACUAGUGAAUUUUAGGUCUAAGGCCAUUGCUUUGGAAAGCUAGGCCCAUGCCUGGUUAUUACAAGUCAGUCGAGAGGGUCAAUAACCAUUUGACACCACAUAAAUAUUUUGAGUUUGCUUGCAUGUAUUCAGUUUGGCCUUUUAUUCCUAUCUGGAGCAUGGCUUUAUUCUGCUGGUUGAUCUUAUUUCUCCAUGCUUCCUUGCUUAGUCUAGAAAAAAUAGAACAUAGAGCAAGAUGGAAAUAGUAUAUUAAGAGUGCAGGUUGUUCAUUUUUCAAUGCAGGUCAUUAAUUUUUUCCUUUUACAUGAGACAUAUAUAAACUCACUUAAAAAUUGUGAAUUUUUUAAUUCUAGAUAUUUCUAAUAGUUUAGAUAUCAUCAAAAUAGGCAUCCUCACUAUUAUGCCUUUAGUGCAACAGAGUACUGCAACAUGACCAGUUUCUGCAUAAAUAAUAGCUAUAACUUUCUCAUUUGCUAACUUGGUGACUUGUGGAUAAUUUUCCUUUUAAGAAGAUGAUUCCUUCGAAUGUGUGCUUUGACUUCUUAGAGUUAUCUUUUUUGAUUCUCUUUCUUAUUUCCACUUUGUUUUGACCUCUUGAAAUUCUUAUGUAUUACUUACCUAUAUUUUCUUUCAAUGGGCUUAUUAGUUCCUAUCACUUUUGUACUUGUAGUUAAUGAUUUUCUUUCUGUUUCUGUUGGUGGAACAGGCACAAUAUAUAAAUCAACUAUAGUUCCUUCACGAACAUUUUGUGUAGUAUGUUAUUCGUCCACCUUGAGACCAUUUAUUUCUUGCUUCUUAGAUCAUUAUCUUUCCUAGAUUUGUUUAUGGCGGUAUUUCUGUAUGCAGGUUAGCGUGGGACAAUCAGAUGCAAAGGUCUGUCAGCCUAAAUCUCAGUCUAAGAGUUGUUAAGUUCUCUACCUGUGCUCCCUUUUAGGAUACAAGUUCUGUUAUGAAAAUAGAUCAAAUUUAAAAUCGUCUUCCGUAUCUAUGAACAUGUAGUUUGCUUACGAUUUCUUUCAUUAUUUUUCACGUUAUAAUUGGUUUUAAUGAUUCGUUACUUUUCUCCCUUUUCUUGGCAGAUUAUUGUCUGAUAAUAAUUAGUAUUCUGUUCUCAUUUAUGACUUAGUCGUAAUUAAUACUUUUGUUUAUUAUUUGCAUUGAUUUGGCAAUAUUUGUUUUAAAAGUAGGUAUUUUUCCAGUGAUUUUGCUUGGAACUCUUGCAGUUAUAUCUAACUAUAUUUUCAGAAUUUUCUUUUCUGAAGUUAUUCACAUAAUUAGUGAUUUUAAAUGGUGACUGUGCAGAUAGAAGCUAUCAUGAAUGAUUUCAUUCAAUUGGAGCCCCAAUCUAAUGUGUUUGAAGCUGAGACAAUGAUUGAAGGUUCCUAUUCUUUGCCCCCUUUUACGUCAUUGUUCAAACAGUUUGGAUUUACGGGAGCUAAUUUUCUAGAACAGAUUAAUUGAAUUCUACUCAUUCGCCCUUGAUUUCCAAAAUUUGUCUGUAAUGCUCGAAUUCCUUAAGCCAAGCUUAUUGACUUUUCGGGUAGUAAUACUUUAGAAAUAUCUUAGUUCUUUUACAAGUAUUUGUACUAGGGCUAUUAGCUGAGCAGUUGCUUAACUUCAUCAUGCAGAGAAUUGCUAAUUCUGAUUAGUUGUUUGACUUUGCUCUUAUGAUGUUCACAGCCAUUGCCUUUUGAAAAUCACAAAGCAGACUUGUCCGUUGUCCCAUUACCCCUUGGGUCUCUUGGCAUUUGAUUGUUAAUGCAGUUUGCUGCUUGACAAACAUCAGCUGACAGCCAUGUCUUUAUUUAUAACAAGGAUUUAAGUGCCGUGACACGGAGUCGUGCCAGAAACUUGCUGGCACGGUGUAUGCCAAGCCGUGCCGAUGCGUGUCAAUCACAAAAAUUUUCUGUGUGCUGACACAUAAUAGUAUGUUAGCAACAAAAUAGUCUAACUGUUUAUUAUGUAUUUUUAUCAAAUCUUUUGAAUUUUAUUGAGAAAAUUACUUACUAAUUUAAAGAAUAGUGGAUUUUGAGCUGUGCCAUCGGCACGAGGGCUGUAUCGUGUCGAUAUCUUGUUGGCACGAUACGGCACGGUAGAUUUGAUGGACGCUUAAAUCCUUGGUUCAUAACAAUGCAAUUUACAUUUAUGAAGCUAAAAUUUGGAUAACUUCCUUGUAUACUAGUGUAAUGGCCCGCGCUUCGCGGCGGGAGCUAAUAAUGCGGGAAGCUAAUAAGAUGAUUAUUUUAUUAUAUUUAUUUAUUAAGAAAUAUAGAGAUACAUAUAACAUUAACAUUAUGUAAGAUAACUAAAUACAUAAGACAUAAUCUAAUAUGAUACAAUGUCAUUUAUAAUGCAAAUAUAAUUGGUAAAACAGUUUCCAGAUUAUGGCCUACCUGUUCCACUUGAUUUCUUGCCGAUGUUAAUCUUGCCCGGCCCUUCCCCAGCUUUCGAACUGCAUAAGUAUGAACAAUAUCUCACAUAUAUACGGUUACUGCAAACAUGUUGGUUUAUCAUUAAGUCUGAGUGCAUUGCAAGCAUAGAGACUUACUGAUAUUUUUUUCUUUAUCUGGUCAAGUCAGCAGUUCUCGGCGUGUAUCAUGUUGGUUUAUCAUGUUGGUUUUUAGAGUUUAUGUUCAUCUCCGAAUUCAAGUAUGUCACGGCUAUUGCAAACAUGGCAUUCAAUUUCAGUACUAAUUCCAAAUACAUUAAAGUGCUGGACUUUUUUCCCACAUUAAACAUACCUUGAUCAAAAUAGUAAGGCAUUUUCUUAUCAUUUUAGAUAAAGGCAUCGAAAUAUAAACAUAGAGCAAGAACAGAAAACUUUGGAGAAAACGUAAUUUUCGUAACCAAUUAUUAAUUUAUUUUAAUUAAGGGAGUAAUGGAAAAUAAAAUGCAUCUAACAUAAAGAGACGAAAAGACUGUAAUUAAUUAGUCACAUUAUUAAACUGUUUUAAAAAUUUACCUAUGAAGUCAGCAAAAUUUAAGAAAGAUUAAAUUCAGAAAAUUCUGCACAAAAAUUUGAUGACUGAUAAUUAAUUAACUUUAAGUAAGCAAGUCAGGCAAGAAGAAACAAAAAAAAAAAAAAAAGUUACACAUUUAAUUUUUUUUAUUUAUCUAAGUUUAUCGUUCUAGUAUAGAAAGAAACAUAUUUGUUUAGCCUAAAAUAUUAAUUUAUGUAUUUUUAUACCAUCAAGAAGUACACUCUAUGAGAGUAUACAUCAACAUAGUUUUACCUUACCUUACGAAAGUAGAAGAUAUGGACCCCAAAUUAUUCUAGAAAAAAUACAUCGAUAUGACUGGCUGGAUUUAUAUCAUUUUGGAUCCUCCUCACAAAAUUACGAGAUAGAGCCAAGGGAAAUUACUCCUCCUUCCUAAAGUAAAUGGGUCCUAAUAACUCUAGUAGAAGUUGUAAGUGUAUAUAUAUAGCAAAUUGGAGAAUAUUCUAUAUCAUGGUUGAUGUUGAAAGACAAAUAGGUAGAGACAAAAUUAAAGGUUCAUGCACCCUGUGUUUGAUGUUAAACAAUAUUACUAUAUAUAGAAAAAGUUGGGGAGGAUGCAUGCAUCGUAAUGAUAAGAAAGAAAGCAAAAGGACAAGGAAUAUUCUAGUACUAUGGGAAAUCUUGUUUAAUGCACCCUGAGUUUGAUGUUAAACAACAUUGCUAUAUAUAGAAAAUGUUGGGGAGGAUGCAUGCAUCGGAAUGAUAAAAAAGAAGCAAAAGGACAAGGAAUAUUCUGUAAGAGAAAAGUUUAUUUUGUGUGCAAGAUACUAUUUUUAUUGGACUUAGAGAAGUAAAAGGCAAUUUACAAAUAAUUCAUGGUGAAAUUGGAGUGAAAACAGAAGAUUUAGAAUUUUCUGUAAGGAACGGAGCUUUUUUUUAGCAGAGAAUUCAUAGUGUCAGAAAAUUAUGAAAAUUUGAAAAUAUGUCGGAAUUAUUUUUCUGAGGGGUUAAUUACACCAAUUGUCCCUAACCUUUACACUUUUUCAAUUUGGUCCCUAACCUGUUUUUUUUGCAAUCAAGUCUCUAAUCUCUUGAUUUCAUUUCAAUUAAGUCCCAGCUGUUAGAUAGCUGUCAAAAUUGACGGAAAAUGCCACGUUAGUGCCACAGAGGCGUCAUGUCAGUGCCACGGAGGCGUUGUAUUAGCGCCACGGUGGCGUUGUGUCAGCGGAUUGCAAAAAAAAAGGUUAGGGACCAAAUUGAAAAACGGUGCAAAGGUUAGGGACCAAUGGUGAAUUAACCCAUUAAAAUUAUAAAUUCAAAAAAAAAUUUAAUUUAAGAUUUAAAUUUUAAAUUUAAAUUUUGAUUUUGGAUUCAAAUUUAAAUUGGAAUUCAAAUUCGGAUUUUGUAUUUAUUUUAAAUUUUAAAUUUUAAAUUCAAAUUCACAUUUGGAAUUCUAAAUUCUAAUUUAAUUUCAAACUUUGAUUUGAAAUUUCAAAUUCAAAAUGUGAAGUUUAAAUUCAAAUUUAGAAUUGAAAUCAAAUCUUAAAUUCAUAUUUAAAUUUUGAGUUCAAAUUUAAAAUUUAAAAUCAAAAAUUUGAAUAUGAUUUUAAAUUUAAAUUUGGACUUUAAAUUUAAAUUUCGGUUUCAAAACUUUCAUUUUAAAUGUAAAUUGAAAUAUCAAAAUCAAAAUCAAAAUUUUAAGUUUGAAUUCAAAAUUUAGAUUAAAUUUAAAAUUUAAAUUUAAAAUUUGAAUUUCAAUUCAAAAUUUUAACUCAGCUUUAAAUUCAAAUUCAAAAUUCUAAUUUCUCGUUAGUUUAAAAUUUUAAUUUUAAUAUUAUUUUUGAAUUUAAAUUUAAAAUUUUGAAUUUUUAUUUUUAGGGACUAAAAUGAAAAACGUGCAAAGUUUAGGGACCUAAAUUAACAUGCAAAAAGGUGCCAAAUAGGCGCUGACGUGGCGAUUUCGUUAAUUUUAAUAGUUUUUUAAUGGUUGGGACGUAAUUAUAAUAAAAUCAAGAGAUUAGGGACUCAAUUGCAAAAAAAAAAAGGUUGGGGACUCAAGUGAAAAUUGCUGCGAAGGUUGGGGACUACCGGUGUAAUUAACCCUUUUUCUGAGGCUGGAUUUAAAGUUUCGUGUCAUUCGGACACUUGGAAAGUAGAAACGGAACAUAACAAUAAUUUGAUAAAGAUUUUAGUUGGUAGACCUUUCGGUGACAAAAAAUGAUUCAAAACUGAAAAAUUAAGAUCACGUUCUUCUGAUUGAUUUUAACUGAGUUUGACUUUCAAAUUUGAGCGUAAACGGACAUUCGGAAGGGCUCCAAUUAAAAGUAUCAGAUUCUGAACUGGACUAAACUGUAAGUUGUAGUUGUUGGGGGGCCUAUAUGUAAGCCCACACCAUCUCUCCCUGGUUUUGCCCAACAUGUGUGAGAGUGGAGAAGAUUCUCUUUCUCUUUCUCUCCCACACACACCUACAACAUGAGAGCUUCUCUCUCUUUCUCUCAAACCCUCUACAUUUUCGCUUUAGGUAGGCUUAAAUUUUCAAACCAGUAGCACAUUAAUGGAUUAAGUAAACUAAAUAUUCCAUUGUUAGUGGUUAAGUCAAUUAUUUUUGUGAGUAAAUUUAAUAAUUUUUAAGCUUUCAUGAUUUCUAGGUCGGUUUUGCUGAAUUAUUGGAAUGAAUUCUGACAAACCAAUUUAGUUGCGUAAAUAUAAAUAUUUUCGAAAUAUGAAAGUAAUGUGCUAGUAUUACAAUUAGCCAACUAAAAUUACCUAAUCCAAUUUAGUUAGAUAAAUAUUGGGCCCAAAAUUAAGCUACUUACACCACAGCAAAUUUUCUUAGACUUGAAAGCUGAAAUGUGGUAAAUAUAUGUUGCUAAAUUACACUGCAGGGCCUUAAAUUAGAAAUUUAGAUGCAAUUCGCUAUCAAAUUUUAAUCUACCAUAUUUCCUAGGUUGGUUAAACUAUUAUAAUAUGACAGAUAACGACUUAAGGCAUACAAUUGCAGACAGUUGUGUAAUUAUUGAUAUUUUAUGUAAAAAAAUAAAAGUUAUGCAAAUCGCUCGUACGUUUUAUUUUUUCUACCCAAAAUUUGAAUUCCAUUGUAUGCUUAAUUAUUGAAGUUGUUUGGUUAAAUGGCGAAUUAUUAGCGAUGAUAUUAUCAGUUCAAAAAAAUCGAGUUUAUCUCUGAGUCCGAGUGCAGUGCAAACACAGAGACAUAAUGUUUUUUUUUUUAUUUAUCUGGUCAAGUUAGCAGUUCUGAGCAUGCAUCAUGUAGGUUCUUGAAGUCUAAGUUCAUAAUUGAAUUCAAACCCGCACGGCUACUGCAAACAUGGCAUCCAAUUUCUAUCCCAACUAUGCCGAUCUAGAAAUUUUUUCUUUCAAAUAAGAUCACUCUAUAAUUUACUGCACAAAUUCAAUUUGAUGAUAAGAAAGAAAGCAAAAGGACAAGGAAUAUUCUAUGUACUAUGGGAAAUUUUGUAAGAGAAAAGUUUAUCUUGUGUGUGAGAUAUUAUUUUUAUUGGACUUAGAGAAGUAAAAGGCAAUUUAGAAAUGAUUCACGGUGAAAUUGGAAUGAAAACAGGAGAUUUAGAAUUUUCUGUAAGGAACGGAGCUUUUUUUUAGCAGAAAAUUCAGUGUCAGAAAAUUUGAAAAUUUGAGAGUAUGUCGGAAUUAUUUUUCUGAGGCUAGAUUAAAGUUUCAUGUCAUUCGGACAUUCGGAAAGUGGAAACGGAACAUAACAACAAUCUGAUAAAGAUUUUAGUUGGUAGACCUUUUGGUGGCCAAAAUUGAUUCAAAACUGAAAAAUUAAGAUCACGUUCUUCUGAUUGAUUUUAACUGAGCUUGACUUUCAAAUUUGAGCGUAAACGGACAUUCAGAAGGGCUCCAACUAAAAGUAUUAGAUUCUGAACUGGACUAAACUGUAAGUUGUAGUUGUUGGGGGGCCUAUAUGUAAGCCCACAUCAUCUCUCCCUUGUUUUGCCCAACACGUGUGAGAGUGGAGAAGAUUCUUUCUCUCUUUCUCUCCCACACACACCCACAACAUGAGAGCUUCUCUUUCUUUCUCUCAAACCCUCUACAUUUUCGGUUUAGGUAGGUUUGAAUUUUCAAACCAGCAGCACAUUAAUGGAUUAAGUAAACUAAAUAUUCUAUUGUUAGUGGUUAAGUAAAUUAUUUUUUUGAGUCAAUUUAAUAAUUUCUAAGCUUUCAUGAUUUCUAGGUCGGUUUUGCUGAAUUAUUGGAAUGAAUUCUGACAAACCAAUUUAGUUGCGUAAAUAUAAAUAUUUUCGAAAUAUGAAAGUAAUGUGCUAGUAUUACAAUUAGCCAACUAAAAUUACCUAAUCCAAUUUAGUUAGAUAAAUAUUGGGCCCAAAAUUAAGUUACUUAACUCACACCACAGCAAAUUUUCUUAGACUUGAAAGCUGGAAUGUGGUAAAUAUAUGUUGCUAAAUUAUACUGCAGAGCCUUAAAUUAGAAAUUUCAACGCAAUUCGCUAUCAAAUUUUAAUCUACCAUAUUUCCUAGAUUGGUUUUAUAAACUAUUAUAAUAUGACAGAUAACGACUUAAGGCAUACAGUUGCAGACAGUUGUAUAAUUAUUAAUAUUUUAUGUAAAAAAAAAAAGUUAUGCAAAUUGCUCGUACGUUUUAUUUUUUCUACCCAAAAUUUGAAUUCCAUUGUAUGCUUAAUUAUUGAAGUUGUUUGGUUAAAUGGCGAAUUAUUAGCGAUGAUAUUAUCGGUUCAAAAAAAUCGAGUUUAUCUCUGAGUCUGAGUGCAGUGCAAACACAGAGACAUAAUAUAUAUAUAUAUUUUUAUUUAUCUAGUCAAGUUAGCAGUUCUGAGCAUGCAUCAUGUUGGUUCUUGAAGUUUAAGUUCAUAUUUGAUUUUUCCUUCCUGAAUUCCUUUGUGUGUGCGUGUCUUGGGUUAGGUAAAAAUGUAGAGAGAGCGGAAGGAGAGAUGACAAUUUUAAUUGGAGAGCAAAUACAUGCCCUCUGGACAAGAGGCCAUGUGAGCACAUGUGUGCGUGUGUUGGGAUGGAAAGAAAUGUAGAGAGAGGGGGAAGAGAGAGGGGAUGUAAAAUAGGCAAGUACAUGGCCUAUGGAUAUUGAGUCCAUGUGGGACCAUGUUAAAGGGAAGAGAGGCCAUGUGAGAGAGAGAAAAUUCAUAUGAAAAAAUGGCGACGUGGCUCGAUGGAGGUACGUCGUUUGUUUUCUCCUUAAGUAUAGAGUUUAAUAUCACGAUUUGUGCUUUUUCGGAUUUAAUAAUCAAGACCUACUUAUUACCCCCUGAUUUAUUAGAAAAUCAUUCCCUUUACCCUCUUAGAGGAGAGUAAGCUACUAAUAUUUUAUAGUUUUAGGGGUUUGUUUGUAGGUUUUGAUUCUCCAUUGGGGACGGGGUCAAAUUGCAAUAUAGUCACUGGGGUUAUAUGUAGGGGUGAAAACGGUUGAAUACGGUCGGAUUUUGACAAAAUCAUAUUUAUAUCCAUAUUUUCUUUCGGAUGCGAAUUCGGAUCCGGUUUUGUAUCGGAUGCUAAAUUUUCAUUACCAUAUCCGCUAAAAACGGAUUCGUAUUCGGAUAUGGAUCAUAUUUGUAUUCGGAUAUUAUUUCAAUAAUAAUAUAUACUAAUAUGUAUGAAUUAGCGUGAAUAAGAUACAAUGCAACUAAAGUUCUAUACUCGUGUUCAAAUUUGAUGCCUAUAUUUUAUUCAAUAAAAUCUAACAAGAUUAAAUGCAAUUUUAGCAUGAAACUUAUAAUAAAAUAAACGAAGAACACGACAGAAAACCACCUUUAUCUCCCUACAAUUUAUAUUAACAUUGCCCCUUAUCUCAUAGGGGUGAAAUGGUCGAAUAUGGUAGGAUUUUUGACAAAACCAUAUUCGUAUCCAUAUUUUUUUUUUCGGAUGCGAAUUCGGAUGUCCGAAUUUGUGUCUGAUGCUAAAUUUUGACAUCCGUAUUCGCAUCCUAUUGAAUCCUGUGUUGGAUUUGAUCGAGGUUUUUCUUAACCACUUUCACUCCUAGUUAUAUGCCUUUAGAGAUGGUAAAGUUGUAUCUUACUUGUUUUGGUCAUGAAUUGCUUAUGCAAAUAGCUCAUUAUUUUUUUCAUUUAUUUGUUCUUUAUCCUUUUUUCUGUCCCUUUCAACUUUCAAGGGAGAGAAUGUAUUUCUAUGAUGUUAUUUCAUGCCUAUCAAGUAGAUGAUGGCUAAUCGUUGUUUGCGGUACCUCUUGAUUGUGCAUGUUUCUGUUCAAAAUUCUUUUAUUUUACAAAUAGUUCCUAAUCCUAUGGAGUUGCUAUUUAAGCUCCACAUAUGCUCAUAAAAAUCGAUUAUUUGAAUUUAUUAGGUUUAAUUUUGGGUAAAUUGAACUACUGGUCCCUGCACUUUAGUCAAGUUUCGCUUUAAUCCUUUUUUUUACUUUUAAUUUGGACAUUUGGCAUUCCAAACUUUUAGAAAUGCUUUACAUAGUCCUUGCCUUAAGAGGAAAAUUUAUUGCCCACAUAUACAUCCAUGCACUAGAAUCUGUUAAUCCUCCAUCCAUCUGAUAGUUUAGUCCAACCAUCAAAGUUUAAAAUAGAGAAAAGGCUGCAUAUCAAGUUAUCAACUGAUGGCAGAUGUUGGGAUCGAGGGUUGAUGUACAGCAGUAUUGAUGUACAAAUGCACUGGUUGCAGAUUAUAAUUCUUCCUCUAACAUUUUCAAAAGUUUGGGUUAUCAAGCGUCCAACUUAAAAGUUCGGGGACCAAAAUAAAUCUUUGCUAAAUUUUGUGGACUAGUAGUGCAAUUAUCCUUUAUUUUAGGUAAACUUGAUCAUGUUGUUGGGUUCGCUGAUAAAAUCGUACUUCAAUAUAUGUUAGGAACUGUUUUUUUUCUGCACCAAAGUUUGCCGUACACUGGCAUGAGGCUUUCAGUGUCCCACUGGCACGGCAUAGCAUGUCGGCAUGCUUCGGCACAGAUCUUCUUUUAUAUGUUGGCACAAGUAGCAAAGCAGCACAUGCCUACUGCCACAGAAAUUCUUGAUCUGCACAAAUAAAUAAUUAGAUUUUACGUUAUUUCGGAUGAUCUUUUUUUAUACAUGUCUUGGUUUCCUGAAUGCUUCUAUAUUUUUAUGUAUCAACCGCUAUAAUUAUAUGAUUAUACAUUGUAGUUAUCUUUGAGUAGGUACACUUGAGGGAUUUUCAUUUGAUUCGGAUGAGGAGGCUGACAAAGUGCCAAAGUCGUCUGGCCUUCAAAACGAUCAAAACAAUGAAAAUGGAGAUCAACCCAAUAACACGAAGACCAAAAGGAAAGCUGAUAAAUCAUCGGUAUGUUUUGAAGCCCAUCCAUAGUUUUGCUGAUCGUCUUAUUUCCUUGUGAAAUUCUUUGAGGGGGCAUUGAAAAAGUAAAUCUUUAGAUGUUUCUGAAAAACUUUAUCCUUUGGAAUUUGUCGUGAUCGGCCCUUUCUUUCUGGUUUAUAAGUUUCUUAAAAAUUAUCUUCAGGAAUCGAACAUCAAGUCUCUUAAUUGGUAAAUAAAUAGGAAUGAUGGUACGUGCCGACAUAUGGUUACUUUUUAAUGCUGCUUCUUGCUUCUAGUUUAUGUAAUGUUGAAAUAUCAAAUGCAUAAUGAUUAUAGUUUGGCUAUUCAAUAAUGCACAAUAUUUUUUUUUUUAAUUCUUUUAAAGACUUGAUGUGGUUAAAAUUUUUUGAGAUACUUCUACAUAUAAACAGAUUGAAACCAGCAGGUCUAUAAUGACAUAGAAUUUAACAGCUACUGACUUUUGAUAAGGUAAAAAAUGCUCCCCUAUUCCGCCGUGGAAAAACUAUUAUUUCUUUUAUGUAAAAUGUAUAAAACUUGCCUGAACUAUAGACUAUUUUGAUUCGACUACCCAACAUUUCAAAAUUUUAAUUAUAGUACACAACCUUUCAAUUUGUUUGAUUUAAGUAAUUUGAUGGCUCUUCAAAUGCAAAAUUUAACCCGACUGCUUAUUUUAAUGAAUUUAUAGUUACGUAAUUUGUAUAAAAUAUACUAAAUAAACCCGUAAAGAUAAACGGUGCUUUCAAAUUUUGACUUUAAAAAGUCACUAAUUGGCUCAAAUCAAAUAAAUUAAAAGGUCAGGUAGUAAAAUCAAAAUUUUUGAAGGUUCGGUAGUCGGAUCCAAAUGGGUGAUAGUUGAGUUAAUGUUUAAACAUUUUUACCUUUCUUUCAUCUUGAAAAUUAGGGUGGAGGUCUUUCGGAAUUUUCCUUUGGGUAAUGAUUACUUUGAAUUCCAGUCUUUUGUGUCUGAGGGAAUUGCUUCUAUUUGGCCAUGAAAGUUUUUAUUGACUUAUUCUUAGAUGCUUAUGAAUGAAUUUUCACCAUUAGGUCACUAUAACAGUUUAUUAAGGUCGAUUUAAAAGAAAAAUACCACUGCUCAUGGUGACUAACAGUGAAUGAAACAUGCAGGGUCCGGUGCAUAAGAAGGCAAAAAAAGUGGAAAGACCAUCAACUAAAAAAGCAGUAAAGAAACAUCAAGCUGUGAAGAGAACAAAGAAGUCGAAGAAAUGAGACUUUCACAUGGUUUUUAAUCAUGCAUCUUAUUUCGAUCAUUAGAGGAAAACAUUCGGUUCGGUUUCUUUCUACCAUUUAUUCUUCGACGGUCCGCAAUUAUUGCUAGUGUAUUACACCGUGUAUCGUAUCUGUAUCAUAUCUUUCUUUUCACUGAAUUAUAUAUUCUAGUAGUAUUACAUUGUUUAUAUAUCAUCUUGACAAUCAGUGACUCAGAAUCUUUGAUAUUUAGUCAUCUUGACAAUCAAUGACUCAUAAUCUUUGAUAUUUAGUCAAAAAGCAUUAGUUGCUUCCGCUUUGUAAUCGUGUCUGACGUUUUGAAACUUCCUUUCUUCCCAUCAUCAUAGAAAAAAAUACCUUCCAAUAUUUGCGGUGAGCGCAUGCGGUUGUAUGUUUAUUGCAGUUCUUAUAUAUGUAUAUUUUUUCCAAGUAUGGGACAUUGAAACUUCCUGUUCCCUCUGCCUAUUGCUCUCUCUUAUUCAGAUAUUGUUUUCUUUAAUUCUUCAGAAUAAAGUCUGCGAAAAGUAAUUCUUUUACUUACAAGGAAUUGCCAAGACAGCAUCCGUCAUGAACUGAUCCUAUCAAACUCAAUUCUAGGCGGCUUCAAUGUUAGAGGUUGUUUGGUUGCAUGCAGAUGCUAUUUCAUUGCCGAGUUAAUUGUAUGCAAAUUCAAAUACGGUAUUCGAAUACAGAAUUCAAUUGUUGCAGUUUAAAUUGUAUCCAAAUUGGUUGUAGUUCUAUCCACUGCAAUUAUCGAACAGUUGAAUCACUCAAAAAAAAAAAAAAAAGUUUAAAAAGAUAUCUUCAAGCUACCGAACUACUUAUUUGGCCCCCAAAUCAGUCGAUGUUCCAACAACAUCUUCUUAAAGGACUAUAUAUCCAAAACAAGCCUUCUCUAGUCAGUUCUCCGAAAUUGCAUAAUUUUAGUUAAUGAGAAUGCAUUGUUCCACCACAACCCUUAGAAUAAAAGACAAGAUGUUAAUGAAAUGGUGUUGGAAACGGGCUUUUUUUGCAAAUAGACCCCUGACAAAAUUUUAUUUUAAAAUUAGCCCUAUCAAAUUUGAAAUUGCAAAAAUGAUCCUACUCCUGCCAGCAGGCGUUACGUCAGCGCCACGCGGGCAAGCUGGGGCCAGGUAUGUAAGUUGAACACAGUGAACCAUUCACCGUGUUCAAACACGGUGAAUGGUUCACCGUGUUCAAUUUAAACAACCUGGCCCCCGCCAAGCCCAGGGCGUGGCGCUGACGUGGCGCCCGCGUGACUGGCCCAGGGCCAUUUUUGCAAUUUAAAUUUUGACAGGAUCAUUUUUGAAAUAAAAUUUGUCCAGGGGGCUAAUUGCAAAAAAAAACCCGUUGGAAACCUUCUGCUGGAGAAGCAUCAAGCAAGACGCUUCUUCCAUGGAGGUUCCUACCGACAUUUUGUAGCGCUGAAGGAGUGGAGCUUUCAAUAUAUAAAUAUAUAUAUUUUUUAAGCUCUAAAGCAUUAAAUUGAUUGCAUUUUAUUACUCACUCCCAUACAAGGACCGAGCCAUUGGCAUAAUGUCACGGCCUUAGCAUUUUUACUCGCAAAGUCCGUGCAACGUCUGCUUUCCUCCUCAAAAAUAGACAAGCCUAACUCGCUAUUGCUAAUCUAGACCUCCAUGCCCUACGACUAAAUAUGCAAAAAGUGACUACAUAUGCAAAAACGAGAAAAAAGAGAGAGAGAGUGAUUCCCAAAAAAUUAAAUACUCCGCCUAUUUAGAAAAAUAGAACUACAAUACACAACUACUCUUCUUGUUUCCUCCUUAGCCUUAGCCAACCCUCUAUUUAUUGAUACAAAAUAUAUUGAACCUAGCCUAUAAUAAUUCACCCACUAAGCAUAUAUUAACUCUCUCACUAUCACAUAGUAAAAUAACUCUCAUGAACGUAAGGUGAUCUUAAAGGUUGCGCGUGACUUUUUCUCGAUAGUUUUGGAGCCUUUAUAUCCAGCAAUUACAUAUCCUUUUAUUUCCCACAAUGGCUGCUGGUUUGAGUCUCUUUGACAGCCCGUUCAGCUAGCGAAGUUGCUAUGCUAGGGACUUGGCCGAGCUGAAAUUUUCCUACGUCCCUGACAAUAAGGUACGCAAAGCAUAUUUACAGUCCAAACAUGAUAUCGAACUCAUAAUGGUGUUUUCAGAUCUUCCUCUGCACAAACAUUUUACUGCAAGGUUAGCGAGCGUUUACAAACCUCUACACAAUAACAACUAAAUAUACAUGAACCUCAGCAGGUUUUCGACAAAGCGCAGCACACGGCAAAAAACAAGAAUUUAUUGCGCGUCUCAUUGCCCGGUCACCAGCAUCUCUAAGGACAAACAAAUUGUAUGCAAGAGAGAGGCAUUCAUAAACCCACAACCCAAAAUAAUCUAAAAGUUCACUUCACAAUUUACCUAUUUCGAGAUGAGAAAAGGAUGUGCAUUUAUAGACAAACAAAGGAAAGAAUUAGAGUAUGUCUUAUUUAAAAAAAGAAAUUUAAAAUUGUUUUAAUGUCAGAUCAAACUAGAAGUGCCUUGGAGAGGAGGAGCGCCGCUCUGGGGUGAAAACCCUGUGAAUGGAUCGCUGAACGGAUUGGCCGGUGCAACGGCCUGGGGAUGUUGAGGGUAGUUAGGUUGAUGAUAAGGAUGCGGCGUCAUGUUCAUCGUCAUCGUCAUGUCAUGUUGCUGUUGAGCCAUCAUAGACAUCUGUACGUUGGUCGGAGGUGCAAUGCUAUUGGACAUCGCGAACGGGUCGUGCGGCUCGAAAGGAUUGGUGGCGGCCGGGCCACCAUAUGUUGCUGUGGUUUGUUGUCUUCUUGCACCAUCGUCGUAUAAGCUAUCAAGCAGAAGCUUAUCGAAGCCACCAGCCUAGUUGGACGAAAAGGCCAAACAUUAUCAAGACAGUUAAAACUAUACUAAUGAGUCAAACAGAAAAAGAAAUCCUUCUUACUACCCAACAAAGAGAGAGAGAGAGAGAGAGAGAGAGAGAGAGAGAGAGAGAGAGAGAGACUUUGAAAAACUCUUAGGACCAACCUGCUGCUUCAGUUACAUGACCAUGUCGCACAAUAUCAAAUGGUUAAUGCACAGCUUUGAACGACAGUUGCAUUCUUUGCCCGAUGAAAAAUUUUGGAUCACUUCUUAUGGUCUAGGAAUUUUGACUACUCAGUUGAUUCAACACCACUCCACUACAUGAGCAUUUCAGAAUGUAAAUUUCUUCCUUGAAAUUCAGAGAAAGAAAGACUACAUCCAGAAACUGUAUCUCAACCAUUCAAAAUUGUACACUGUUGUCCUGAUUUUUUUCCCUAAAAGUUGAAAAGUGGGCAAAGGUUUCAAAAUGAAAGUGCUUAAUUUUUCUUGCAAAUACAAAGUUAUAUACUUCUUCUAUUCCAAUAAAAGGCCAAUGUUAUAAGAAAUGGAGGAAAAAUGGAAAGGAGGUUACUUUAAAAAGACAUUUCAUCACGUAUUUUCUUCCUAUGCAAUGUGCUAAAAGGUACCAAAAUGGGCCAUUCCGAGACUACUCUGUAUUUGUUCCUAAGGAAUUCGGUUCUAUGGGUUCCAAUACCAAAUUUAAUGCUUCAUGCUCGUAUAAUCUAGCUACUACAUUUUUGAAAUACUUUUCAUAAAUUUAGCAGCGUUUCGUCAUUUAGAUUAAUAAUAAAUACUCGUAUGCAGAAAUCUGCUUCUAACAUCUACUUUAUUGACACGUAUGUAUCGUAGAUAAUAGAAUUAGGUAAUCACUUAAUACCGCUCCUCUGUUCGAGGGCAGAGAUGACUUUGAGAACUUCUUCUUUGAGAGGAAGAUCAUCACAUUCUCCUUAAGAUAUUAUGAUCUACAAAAUAAACCCCUACUUCUCUCAUACUUCACAGUGAAAAGAGGAGAGGAUCCAUUUAUAAUUCAUGCCCUUUAACGAGAUCAACCAAAUAAACUCACCAACAAGAGGAGAAAGGCAGAAACAAAAGAGAUAGACAUAAACUAGAAGACCAGUUUCGGUGACUAGCUGAUUGUAGAUAGGAGCUCUUGGGUUUCAAACAUUCAAAGAGGACGCCCAACCAGUCGACCGGGUUAGUCCACCUCUAGCCAGGAAUGUUCGUGUGAUAAACUCACCUAUAAAGUAGCAAGUUGGUUUAAUAAGUUAAAGGUUUUUUAGAACAAAAUACACUACAAGUCGUCCCAAAAAGUCGCAAGAAAAUGGCACUUGUUGGCCUGUAAGGUUGAAAUUUGCUCUUUGUACAAAUUACUGCAACUUUCAAGAUAUCAGCAGGUGAAGUAUCAGAACAUUAUGUUGUAGUGAAACUAAAAAAAAAAGGAAAAAAAAAGUCAAUCAAGCGUACCAGUUUGCUCUCAGUCAAUUGGUUAUUGUUGUUACUUGCUGACGACACUAAAGCUAAUUCCCAACCAGAAGAAUCAGUUGCACCACCAAAAAAGCCACUGGUACUAGCUGCUUUGGAACUGUCCCCUGCAAACAACAUGUUGCACUUAAUAGUUAAUACCAACAUUAAAUGAGCUCAUCACUGAUACACCAACUAUCCGAAGAAACAGAAGGUUCUAAAGCUUCUAGUUUCUUGGCAUAUUGAAUUAAAAAAGCAAAAAUGCUCAGUAGAAUUUCAGAUAGACUUUAAAAAAAGCAAGACUUUAGAUUUCAAGUGAAUAUUUCAAGAAUAUAAAUGUAUUAUUAACUACAGAAUCACCUGAUGGAAUGAUAGCCAGAGCCAGUGCAUUACUUUCUUCAAGUUCAGCAGCAACAGGGUUUAUUUCGUCCAAACCCUGCAUGAUCACACACAAGAUGAAUUUAUUUCUAUAUGAUAAAAAGUCCAAAUAGUGAGAAAUAGAUGAAGGAUAAAAUACUCACCAACAGAUCAGCUGUUGUUGCAGUUUGAGCUGCAAUCUCAACUGUAGUAGUAGGCUGUGGUUGUUCUUCGGGCUCAACAAGUGUAGGUUUUUCAUCUUCAAUUGUAGGUUCUUUUAUACUCUCUACAGGAGGAAGAGGAGAUGAUUCUUCUUCCUGUGUCACUAAGUUACUCUUCUGAUAUUCCUGUUUCAACAGAAUUUAGUCCGAUAAACACUUGAAUUUUAUUCUAUGCUACACAGAACCAACAACUGACCGACCCAAAACGUAUGUAUGAAGAGUUACGAGAUGCAUAGAAGUUUUAAAUUACCCACACCCCCUAAGAAAAAAAGCAAGUCCACUCUGUAAGGACUCCACAUUGGCAAGAGUUAAAAGACUCGGGAGAAGGAUAUAAAUGUCUUUCUGUACAUUUUUACGAAUUUCUAACAGGUUACAAAUAAAAUAUUCACAUCUUCCACGAGAAAAGGAAUUCUUAUAUGCUAAAUUGUAUUCGACCAAAAGUUCAUUUGUUUAUUACAGAAGUCAUAAUUCCAAAAACAAAAUACAAAUCAUUGACCACUUACUACGCUGGGCUAUAGUCAAGAUGAACAUAAAUAUGCACAAUAUACUGACACAAUUUCGAUAGACAGCAGGAAGAAAUAGAGCUGGUAGCAGGGAAAACUCCUUCAACCCCUUUUUGCAAUCCGUUAAUGUCAAACUAUGCACAAAUACAUAUUCAUGGUUUACUGAAAAUCAAGAAGGUACAAAUCCAGUGAAUAACUUAUUAGUCCAAAACAUAUUCACUUGUAUAGAUUAACCUAUAUAUAGAAGUGCAAUAGCAAUUUAGGCGCCCAACAUGCACGUGAUAACUAUAACACUGAGAAGUCUUUUUGCAGAGUGACUUUUAAAUCACAAGCCAUUUAAUCAUUUCUAAAGAAAAUAUAUACCAGUGAAGGCUCCAAAUGCAUCUAGCACAAGGAUGCUUACGAUGCUAACUUUCAUGCUUAAAUCAACAUUUGUUCAAAUUCUAUUACUCACAAUGGCCUUAUUUGAUACAGAGCCGGUUCGAGGUGCUUCUCUUAUGUAUUCUUCCAUCGUUGCGAGAAAUGAUGGAGGCGGCUGAAGAAAGUCAGCAUGGAAAAAAAAGAACAUCAAUUUUCGAAUAAGAAUGUAACAAAUUUAUUCUAUCAAUUCAAAUGCGAAUAACCACAAUGCUAGACCUCUUUAAGAAUUGGAAACUGGAAGUUCCUAGCAAGCUCCAAACCUCUGCAGAACUCAUAGAAGUCAGAAAGACUUUUUGCCUGUUGAAUAAACAGAUCUUCAGCACCCAGAAAAUUGAAAAAGAAACAGUUGGCAACAUAAUUCAGCAAAACCUCUCAACAAGAAUAUUUCCUGCCAGAAGAGACAUACCAGAUGGCCAGCUCUUUUGUAGAUGUCAAGAGCUUUAAUAGCAUCAAGUCUUGACAUGUCAAAGAACUGCAGUAUAUUAGUACUUAGUUAAGAGAAAAUCUACAGUGAUGGGAAAACUGGAAGAAAGAAGAAGGUCAUGGAGGUACCAUAUCGACAAUAUUGAUAAUCCCAUCGUUAAUUGCACAAUAGAUUUUGAAGCUCUCCUUUAAAACCUGAGUAAAAGGAGCAAUUCUAAGUACCCUGUUGUUUUUAUAGGAAUAAAAAUAACUUCACGACAAUCAAUUUCUUCAAGGAUAAAAGGAUUAAUGACAUGUGUGUGUUUAAUGAGGAGAAAUAGACUCCAAGAUAAAAUGGAUUUGUUUUCAAAUGCAGUCAGGCGGGACAUAUUAUUGAAUCAUCAUCAACAAUUGCUGAACUACAGGUUCAUCCAUGAAAAACUCAAGAUGUAAAAUAACCAAACAAUCAUAUGAAACCUGGCUAUUACGUUGACAGCAUUUGCAAAACUAAUAUAAACAAUACCAUCACUUUCCUGUAUAACUGGGGAAAAUUAAGCAGAGUUAUCACUACUAGAUAUUUGCCUUUAUACAUCAUUUUUUCUUCCAUCUCUGAGAGUAACAAAAGGAAGAGUUUUUUGUCAAUGGGUGAACAGAUUUAAUAAACUUUUAUACACUAAGGCGACUAGUGUUAAUAAAAGAAGUUAAACAACGGAAUUAAAAAAAUCUAUAGAACAUAUAAAUAAAUUAACCAGCACAGUAUUAACUGGGAAAGAGUAUUGAACAGAAAACAUCAUAAUAUCCAGUGCAAGUAUAGCCAAGAAUAAGCAGUAGUAAUCCUUGUUUGCGCAUGACAAUUACUAACAUUCCUAUUCAUGCAACUCCAGUGAGAAUGACAAUCAUGAUGAACUUGGAUGAUAUAGUAACUGUUUAUGACUAGUAUAACGGUUAAACUAAUAGAGCAUAUGGCUUUGAUUAAAGAAUCAAGCUACUUCACGCAUUACAUUUUACAAGGCAACAAAGCUUGUUAGCAAAUAAAGUAUGUUUUCAUUAACAACAAAACAUUACAGGUUACUGACAAAGGCCAAAAGUUUACAACUAUCACAAGCAAAAUAAUGCUUAUGAAAAGAUGAUGCAUUUUUUACCAUUUAAAUACUACAUAACUAUACAGGCUCAGACCUAAUAAAAGGGAGAGAGUAAUAAUGUUCUUUGAGACACGGUAAGUUCGCAACCAAUAAGAUGGAACAUAGCAGGACAAGAGGACAUACCAGAGCUAGUGCAUAUUGUACAAGAUAGUUCCCAAAAGCAGCUCCUUCAGGCUGCAAUAUUCAAAUAAGUCAGCAAGCAAGCUAUUAUCCAGAAAACAAAAAACUAAUCAAUGACCAGAAAACAAAAGACUAGUCAAUGACCAGAAAACAAAAGACUAAUCAAUGGGAAGUUUCACUAGUUUAUUUCUUUAAGAGACUCACCAUCAACCAAUAAAAGGAACAGAAAGUGGAAGUGGCAAUUUACUACCUGGCAGCCAACGAGGCGGAAAAGCAACUGCUGCAAUGCAGGCAGCUGUUCUAGAAGAUCCUCACAACUUAAAUGCCUUGUCCUACUAUGCCCCUUAAAAUUUCAUGAAAAUAAAAGAAAAGAGAAAUAAAUAAAGAGAAGAUCAGCAAUAGCUCCAUCAAACAAACUUUUUGAAAGUGAAGAAACACACCUUAGAAGACCCUUCUGUGGGUUUCGCUAAUCGUUCUGCUUCAAUAUCAUAUUUUAAGACCCUAAAGCACUCAAGUCGUUCCUCCAAGAAUAGUGCAUAUGUGCGAACCCAUGCAGAGCAAUCCCAAGCUAGAAGAAAAUUCUAAACAAUUCAGAAAUAUGAAUUUCAAGAUAAUUUACUUGCUAAACCUGCCUAUACUGCAGAGAAAACUGUGAAAGAACUUUUGCUGCAAAAUUUCAGCAGACAACCCUACCUUGAGGACUAGAGUCAUCCUUGAAAUUGGAUAUCUGCAAAACAUGUCCCUUGUGUGAAUAGUUUAAUAGGUCCUCUCUAAAUGUCGGAUCACCCUCUCUCAAUAUCCUGUGUAUAACUAUCAAUGUUUUAAGAGCAACCUGUAGAUAUGUAAUCGACAUAAUCAUAUCUGAAAGAUGGAUAAAAUCAACAAACACUGUAAGAGCAUUAAAUAUCAAUAAAAUACACAAAGCAGUAUUGUACUUUUAUAAUUGAUAAUAAACAAGUUUUUUCAACAUUGUGACCUUAUAGGCCUAUUUGGAUGCGUAGAUCGCUCGUUCGGUUUAUGUUUUCUGUGUACUCGAGAGACAUUUGGUAAUUGGUUGGUGGGAAGAUGGAAAGAUGUCUGCAACUGUCAUGUUAUAUACAGCCUCUACAUCAUUCUAAAAUUAUGAGAUGAUAAAUCAUCUCAUAGGUGGAAUGUACUUCCCUGGAAAUUUGGAAUUGUUAAGAUUUCACAACAGCUAAAAAGAUAAAAAUCUUAGGCCAUAAUCACAUGAGAAAUCUCCGUAAGGCACAAGUAUUCCAGCAUAGCCUGGUUCAACAUCCAAAUCAGUCCUAUAUGUUCCAUAGUUGUCAAUCAGUUCUAGUAUGAAUUAUAGGCACUUCUCGUCAAAACAUCACCCCAGAACAAGCAACUUUGAUUAAAACAAAUAAUGGUCUGUUUUGAUUCAUGCUUUCUGCUACAAUAUUUGCUCCCUAGAAAAGAGGAAAUACACCUUUAUAGUCAAAUUAGUGGUGCAAAUGAGUCAUGAAAGAAAAGAUAUAAUACCCUAAUCAUAACAAAUAUUUGAGGACUAAGGGAAGUCUAAUGCCAACACCCUUACAGGAAAUUGAAGAUUUUCAUCUUUGUGUGAUGUAAAUCAAUACUUAAGAAACCAAAUGAGAAACAAGAUGGACAAUCAAAAUAUCAAUGAAAAGCGGCACCAGGUUAGUUAAAUGCGAGUAUUCUUGUUUGCAAAAAUCCAAAUAACUUAUUGCAGUAAAUUUUGCCAUACUAAAAUUCCCUCAAGUAAUGACUUGAUCGAAGCAAAAUUGAGCAGAUUAUAUAAGAACAUUGGCCAAUCCAAACUUAUCUUAACAAACUAGAAAAUUCAAUAUUUCCAAUCAGAUCCAAAUUAUUUUCAACUAGUAACAACUUUACAUUGUACAAAUUGUGCUAGUAACAACAAUCAGCAAACAUCUUUGCUCUCAGUACGUUGAAGAUGGGAUUGAACUUGACUAAGAAAGAUUUGAUACAAAGAUAAACACCUAGUAAAGUGACCAAAUCGUAAAGUCAACUCACUGCGACAAUAUAAGCAAUAAAGAGAUAGAUUGAUAGAGAAACAUACCACCCAGUUAUGAGUCUUAGCUAAUCUCCUCGCAAGCGUGUGCACGCAAUAAGAAACAUCCGUUCGUGGACGGGAGGCUGAGGUAGCAGCAAAUAACUCUGGACCGCACACAACAUGCAGAAAUUAACAAAUUUAGACAACUUAAUCCAGUUACACCAAAUGAGAAACAGCAAAAUAAUUCCUUACCCUACAUUCAAUAACUCAAAGUACAACAUCAAUCGAACUAACCCGUAAAAGAACUCAACUCAUAACCAAUGAAUUCUUGUUUAAUCACCGCAGCAAAAGAUCAAAACACAACCAAUUGUAUAUGAUUGUAAACAAACUUCCACAAAUCAUUGCCAACCCUAAAGAAAUCAAUGAAAUAACAGCAAAUUCUACUCAAAGCGCUACUCACUUCUAAUGUGCCGCUCCUUCGGCGGCCGCUCCACGUGGUUCGUGGCCUUCACUACAGCGAUAUCCAGAUCCUACUAGCAUCAAAAACAUAGUCAAAAGAGAGAGAAGGAUCGGAGAAGGGAGAGAAAGGGAGAGAGGGAGGGGAUCGGACCUUGAAUUCGCUGUUGACCUUGGCGAGGCUGACGGUGGUGGAGUCCUUGAUGGCGCCGUAGGCCUUGCGCCAGCUCUGGAGCGUCCCCAUUGCCCACCUCAAAACCCUAGCCCUAACCCUAACCCUAACCCUUAGCGACGGGGACGAAGAAGAGGAGGCGGAGGAGGGGAUCGCGGCGGUGAUCGUCACCGCCGCGAGGGGUUUUAUUUCGAAACUUCGUUAUUCUCCCUUCGCCUCCCUCCGUCGUUCGCUCUGCGUAGAGAAUUAAUUAAUAAAGGAAAAGGGUUAAUUUCAUAUACGUCCCUGUAAACAUCACAAAUUAUAAAUAUGUCCCUAUAAAGUUUAACUUUUAUAUAUAUAUAUUUUUUUAAAUUCUGAUAUUUUUAAAUAUGUCUCCGCUAUUAGAAUCCGCUAGAAAAAAUUAGUUAAUCAUAGGUAAAAUACUUAAUAAUAAUUAAUUAAUAAGCAUUUUUAACUCUCUUCAAUUAGUAAUUCUAUAUAUUUGUAAUGACAAAAAGGUCAUUUCACUUGUAAAAUAAAUAAAGCUUUAACGAUAAUAAACCAGAGAGACAUAUUUAAAAAUAUUAUGACUUUUGUAGGGACAAUAUAUGAAAAUUGAACUUUGUAGGAAUAUAUUUAUAACACACUGUGUUUGUAAGGACGUGUAUGAAAAAAAAAAAAGAAUAAAAUUUAUAGAUGGAUAGUCCCUGUCCUAUCCUGAUAUUAGGAUUCGGUCCCUGUUCUAUUUUUUUUGCUUGGAGUGUUAAUUGCGACAUUGAUCCCUAACCUUUACCCAUAUUUCCACUCGCUGCCUUAAAUAUUUUACUAUUGUUGAAUCUUAAUCAUUCAAGUACUUUAUUAAUUUUGACGGAACAUCUAUUGUUAUCGUUUAGUAGGUCCCGUCAAUAUUUUCAAAUCUAUUUACUCACCGUUUGGUACAGAUAUAAGCAAGAACUAGCUAUUACAGAGAUAGAUACAAAUAUGGGGAUAAGAAAAAUAGCAUUUUGAUAAAAAUUUGGUUGUUUCCGGGAAUAAAAAAAUAGCAUUUGUAUAGAUAAUAUGGAAUAAGAAAAAUAAUGGGUGGUUAUAUAUAAAAAUUGAAGGUGUUGGUGGAAAUAGUUAUACUAAAUUAUUUUAAGUACCUAAGAAUUACUAUUUUCGGAUAAAAAAAUUAGUGUUUGGAUAUAAAAGAUUAUUCCACCCCUUAUUCCCAAUCCAAACAUGUUAAAGAAAAAUUAUUUAAAUUUUCAAUUGAUUGCGCACAGUUUCAAAAAAAAAAAUAUAUAUAUAUAUAUUCAUGUCGAGAGUUCCAAGGCAUUUUCUUCAAGUAAAAUAUAGUCAUUUUAUUAAAAGGGUGGAAAGCAAUUACAUAUUUUUUAAAAAAUUCUAAUUUUUUCUAGGGUAAACUACAAAUUAUUUUUCUAUAAUUUAGCUCAUUUUUACUCUGUCACCUUGCGAUUUGAAAAUUUUCAACUUACUUUCUUGCGAUUUAAUUUUUAUUUUACAAAAAAAAAAUUAUAUAAAAUAGAAUGACAGAGUAAGAUUUUUUUUUUAAACUACAGAAUAGCAAAGUGAAAAAUAUAGUAAACUAUAGUGGGAUAAACUAUAAAGUAAAACUUAUUGAACCACAAGGUGGCAAAGUGAAAAUAAAUUAAACAAUAAGGGGGAGGGGGCAAAGUGAAAUUUUUUGGACCAUAAGGUGUGGUUACUACUAUUUUUUUUCACCUGUAUAUAUUUUCGGUUAUAAUUUGUUUAUAAUUAUAUUGAACUAAACGACUUCGAAGUAGAAUAGCGUAAGUAAUAAAAAUAGGCUAAAAUAUAGAAAAACUCUCUGUAAAUACUGUUUUUUCUCUUUUACUUUUUCUCUUGACUUUCAAAAAUUUAGAUUUUGCCCUCUUAAUAUUUUAGAAAUAUUUUUAGAGAAUUAUAGCGUUAAUGGAGAGGACAAAUUAAUCAAAUUAUCUUUACUUAUUUUAUAAGAAAAAAAAUAAUUUUUUUAGUAUGUUUUUGUUAUUUUUAAAGAUAUUUUUAAGAUAAAUUAUAAGAAAUAGAUAAAAUAGUGAUGGAAUCUUGAUGAAGGGGGAGCUGAAUAUAUUAACUAAAAAUUUGGAGAGGGUAAAAUAUGAUUUUUUGUAAGUAAGAAAAAAGUGAAAAGUAAAUAUUUACAGAAUUUUAUUUUUUGUAUUUUAGCUAAAAAAAAAGAAUUAAAAAAUACCACUAACAAAAAUGGACCUUUUUCAAAAUGACCCUGUAAAAUACUGUAAUUGGGCUAAUAAUCCUAAAAAAAAUUAAAUUUGGCAAAAGGAGGGUUAGUUUGCCAAAUUUAAAUUUUGUAGGGUUAUUAAUCCAAUUACGGUAUUUUACAGGGUCAUUUGAAAAAAAGUCCAACAAAAACAGUGUAAAGGAUCUCUUCUUAAAUCGCACAUAGUUGAGGGGUCUCUGUGCAUGUUUUAUCAACUUAAAUGCACCAAACAAAAUUUUUUUUUUUUUUCAGUGAGUUUUAUUAGACUUUUUAGUCGCAUAAAAAAUAUUAUCCGGGAUCGUACAAAACGGAAACAGUGGAUUUCGCGGGAUUUAGCUCUGCAGUGGUUAUGCUGAGCUGUAACUAGGUGGCCAAUCGUCUACUUCCACGUGGCACAACUUGAUUGGAUGACGUUUUUUUUUUUUGCUUAGUUAUGAAAACUCCGCAUAUUGCUCCGUGUCAAAAAUACUUUUUAUAUAAAAAAAAUUUAGGAACAAUUGCUUAUUGCUUCAUGCAAAGAUAUUAACUAGCUAAUAUAUCCUCAUAAAACUUAAGUUGGUAGAUUUAUCCUCCUAAAAAAAAUUUUCGUUUAUAAAUAUAAUUUUCUGUUAAUAAAAUUUAGAUAACUAUGAGGUAAAAAAACUAACCAAAUUAGCUAAGCGGUAAAAUAACCUUUUUUUUAUCCUUUAUAUAUAUAUAUAUAUAUAUAUAUAUAUAUAUAUAUAUAUAUAUAUAGAGUUGAGUUAGAUAGUAUCGACAGUAAACGAGCCGUUUUACUAUCGAUUUGUUUUCGAUGAUAGAGCUUCCAAAUUGACGAUCGGCUCCGUUAAUAUGAUCUAAACCAUUAAAACUAUCUAGAAUCAAAAUUCACGCACUUUCGAUAUUGUUCUUUAUCCAUCAAGUGAACAAAAAAAUAAAUGGUUGAAAAAUAAUAUUCUUUAAAAAUGAUGAUAGGAGUCUGUAAUCAAGAUCAAGAGUAUAGAUCUUGUUCUAAAUAGUUUAAAGAAUUUUCUAACAAAAUUCAAUUGAUUUGGAUAUCUUUACGUCGUUAAACGAGAAAACGCCUCUUAUCGACCAUUAAAAUUAUAAUUUUGAAACUCUUUGAUCAUUAGGCAAAUAAUGUCGAAAAGAUUUAAAAUUUGAUUUCUAAAACACUUCAAGUGUAAGAUCAUGUUCAAUGGAGCCGAUCGUCAAUUUGGAAGCUCUAUCCAUCGAAAAUAGGUAGUAAAACGGCUCGUUACUACUGAUAGUAUUCUAGCAAAACUCUAAUAUAUAUGAAUUGAGCUCCUAUACUUUGAAAAGUACCAGUCACUGUUACUUGUAGUUUUCGGCCCUUGGAUUUAAGGGAUGUGCGUUUAGGAUGAUGUGGGUCCUCUAGGGUUGAGUGGGUAGUUGGUUGAAUAGUAUAAUCUAACGGUUGAAAAUAAUUAAAGACGUAGAUCUAACGGUAAAAAUUUACAAGUACAAGUGCUUGGUGCUUUUACAAGCACCAUAGGCGGGACUCUAUAUAUAUUAUAUAUAUAAAUAUAUAAUAAUAUAAAUAUAUAUAUAUAUAUAUAUAUAGUAGGCCUCCGUGCUCCUAAGCCGAUCGUCGAUUAGAGAACCGAUCGUCGAUUCAGAUACUUCAUAAUCGAAAACGGCUUAGGAGCACGGAGGCCUCCGUGCUCCUAAUAGCACACAAGAAUCUACUCUAUAAAUAAUCAUAUAUAUAUAUAUAUAUAUCAUAAUAAUAUAUAUAUGUAUAUAUAUAUACAUACAUAUAUAUAUAUAUGUAUACAUAUAUAUAUAUAAUAUAUAUUACAUAUAUAUUAUAUGUAUAUAUAUGUAUAACAUAAUAUAUAUAUGUAUACAUAUAUAUACAUAUACAUAUAUAUGUAUACAUAUAUGUAUAAUACAUAUAUAUGUAUAUAUAUAUAUAUAUAUAUCAUAUAUGUAUGUAUAUAUAUAUACAUACAUAUAUGUAUAUAUAUAGUAUAUACAUAUAUAUGUAUAUAUACAUAUAUUGUAUGUAUAUAUAUAUAAUACAUAUAUACAUAUAUGUAUACAUAUAAUAUAUAUACAUAUAUAUAUAGUAUACAUUAUAUAUGUAUACAUAUGAUGUAUGUAUACAUAUAUACUAUGUAUACAUUAUACUAUAUAUAAUAUAUGUAUAUAUUAUAUUAAUAUAUAUGUAUAUAUAUAUACAUAUAUAUGUAUAUAUACAUAUACAUAUAUGUAUAUAUAUAUAUACAUAUAUACAUAUAUAUGUAUACAUAUAUUGUUAUUACAUAUAUGUAUAUAUUAUAUAUACAUAUUAUAUAUAUAUGUAUACAUACAUAUAUGUAUCAAUAUAUAUGUAUACAUAUAUAUAAUGAUACAUAUAUAUACAUUUAUAUUAUGUAUACAUAUAUAUAUAUAUAUAUAUAUGUAUACAUAAUAUAUAUAUAUAUAGUUGAGCUAGAAUACUAUCGAUAGUAAACGAGUUAUUUUACUACCGAUUUGUUUCGAUGAAAGAGCUUCCAGAUUGACGACCGCUCCCGUUAAAUAUGAUCUAAACCAUUAAACUAAGUAGAAAUAAAAUUUCUCGCACUUAUAUACUAUCUCAACUCUAUAUAUAGAGUUGAGCUAGAAUACUAUCGAUAGUAAACGAGCCGUUUUACUACCGAUUUGUUUUCGAUGAUAGAUUCCAAAUUGACGAUCGGCUCCGUUAAAUAUGAUCUAAACCAUUUAAACUACCUAGAAAUCAAAUUUUACGCACUUUUCGAUAUUGUUCUUUUAUCCAUCAAGUGAACAGAAAAUGAAGGCUAAAAAUGAAUAUUUUUUAAAAAAUAAUGAUAGGAGUCUUGUAAUCAAGAUCAAGAGUAUAAGAUCUUGUUUUAAAUAGUUUAAAGAAUUUUCUAACAAAAAUUCAACUGAUUUGGAUAUCUUUACACCGUAACGAGAAAACGCCUCUUUUCGACCAUUAAAAUUACAAAAUUUGAAACUCUUUGUCAUUAGGAAAAUGAUGUUGAAAGAUUUGAAAUUUGAUUUCUAAACACUUCAAGUGGUAUAGAUCAUGUCAACGGAGCCGAUCGUCAAUUUGGAAGCUCCAUCAUCAAAACAAAUAGGUAGUAAAACGGCUUGUUUACUACCGAUAGUAUUCUAGCAGAACUCCUAUAUUAUUAUAUAUAAUAUAUAUUAUAUAUAUAUAUAUAUAAGUACAUCACUCGUACUUUCGAAAGUACGAAAACCUCCGUACUUGUAAGUUAUUUCUAUGAUAGGAAUCCGAUUUGACGAUCGCUUCGUUAAGUAUAAUCUAUCAUAUUGGAAUGUUUAGUAACCAAAUUUUAUAAUUUUUUGACAUCAUUUACCAAGCGAUCAAAAGGUCUCAAAAUAUGACUAUUUUAAUAGCGCGAUGUGGCCAACGUUUUAAGUUCAACGGUGUAGAAGUAUCCAAAUUAGAUAAAAAUUUAAUAGAAAAUUCAACUUAACAUCAAUAGCAAGAUGAAUACUUUCAAUUUAAAAUUUGAGUCAUUUAUCACUAUUUUUUAUGAGAUUUUUAUUUUCAGCCGUUCAUUUUAAAACUACUCGUUCACUAGACAAACGAAGCCAAAAAAUUAUGAAAUUUGGUUUCUAGAUAGUUCCAAUAGCGUAGAUCAUGUUUAACGGAAUCGAUCGUUGAAUCGGAAAUCCUAUCAUCGAAAACGAUUUAUAAGUACGGAGGCCUCCGUACUUUCGAAAGCAUAGGAGCCUAGCUNGAGCCUCUCUCUCUCUCUCUCUCUCUCUCUCUAUAUAAUAAUAAUACUAAUAAUAAUAAUAAUAAAUAUUAUGUAUUGUAAUUAAAUGUAUAUAGAGUUUAGGUAAAACCAAACCAAUAAAAUCUUACUCUAGUUGCUCUCUAUUUUCAUUUGCUCGCAGAGUGGUUUCCCCUAUUUCUUUAAUAUUAUAAUAUCGUAUCUCAUACAUUUUAUUUUGUAUAUUGAAUUAUUAGACAUUUUUUUAAUCAAAUUUUAGAUAAUAUUUUAUAAAAAUUAAACUAUAGAUUACACGAUGUUAAGAAUUACAAGCGGCUCGUUUAGGGCUAGAGCUCGCUCGACUCGAAGUUAGGCUCGCUCAAGCUCGGCUCGAAUUGAUUUCAAGUCGAAUUUGAGCUUAAAUUUAGAUUCUCAACUCGAAGUUAGGCUCGCUCGAGCUCAGCUCAAAUUAAUUUCGAGCCGAGCUUAAGCUUAAAUUUAAAUUCGAAAUUAAUUUCAAGCCAAGCUUGAAACUGAGAUAAGCUCGCUCAGGCUCGCCUCAUUUCCACCCCUAUUGGUGAAUGGAUUCGAUGCAUGGGACUUUGAAACAUUAAUUUGGUGCAUUAAAUGAGGAUUAGCUCUUCCAUGCAACGUAGUGUUUGGCACGUUAAUGGGAGAAGGGGACCUCUUCUUCAAUGGCACAUUACUCUCUCUCUCUCUCUCUCUUUUGAUUAUAGUACUAAAAUCAAUUCACCAUACUUAGAAGCAAUAUAAAUCCACCAAGGCCUUUGACCAAACAACAUUAUAAAUUCAUCAUAUUUGAAGAUAAGUUACCUACCAACUGAAUGAUUAGCACUGCUAAUAACAACACAAAAAUCUUCGAGCGCAGCAAAUCAUCAAGAUCUUACAAUGAAUCUGAAGCAUGAACAGAAUAGUUCAGAAAAAAAAAAAGAAAAAGAAAAAACACAAGCACAAAUUUCAACACUCAAAAUUGCUCGAAUUACUUCCAUCUUUUGUUUCAUUUUUCCGCUCAGCCGUCGACACAACACCUGAGAACUGAGACGGAUACAACAUUUACUAAUGCUUAUCGCCAAAUUCCCUCCCACAAGAAAGCAAGCACAUGAAUGGUAAUAUGUUUCCAGUUUUGUUUAAUAUGCUCGCAAAUGCCAUCAAGAAAUGCACUCGUCGCUCAAAUAAAUGCAAGCGGGUGAUGCUCCGACUUGUAAAAAAGUGCAUAUUCAGAAUUACAACAUAAAUUUGUACAGAAUGCACGGCACAGCACGGCACGGCAAGAUUCAGGGUUGAUGACCACCUUCCAUCAUGAUUAUGAAUUUACGGUUUCUGCUCAGAGCUGUUGCUUCUGGCUUGGCUGUUCUGCUUGGUGUUAGCCAGGCGCGGCCUUAGCUGCAAGAAAUCCAAUGCAAUUUUAAUACGACGAACAUUUGUGCACAAAUAACUACCGAGAUGGUCUAGAAACUCUCUUAGAUAUAACUCAAAAUGUCAAGUAAAUAACAGCACAUUGAUAACAUGAGAUAUCUCCAAAGAGAGUAUCAAAUCAUAGAAUGCCACCAAAAGAAAAACAUUUUCUAUUUCUUAGUCUUCCUGUCGACAAUGAGAUGUGAAACUAUUAAGUACGAACAAACUACAAUGGUUUCUUGUUAAAUAUUUUGUUCCUAAAAUCUUUCACAUUGUGUAUCUCAUUAUUUACAUCGUUGUGCCACAAUUAACCCUCAGUUACGCAUCUUUGUCCCUCAGGUUAAGUUUAAUGAGUUCAAGGAGUAUUCCCCUAACGACAUUUGCUCCUCAACAACAAAUUAAUAUUAGGACAUUCCACGUCUGAGGCCCUACCUAAUGGAUCACAGAUACCGUUCGAAGCAUCUUCCUGAAAACUUAAACACGCCUGUCUCUCUUAAUUUCUAACUAUUUAGGACUCUUCAAAGGCAUAGGAUUGCCACUGCAUGGAAAUAGAACUCAAUAUAGGAGCUAAUUUCCUUUAAAUUAGCAAUUUGGAACUUCCAGUUUUUCCAUAAGACUUUUUUUCAGACUAAGGUAUUAGUGUUAUUAGAGGACAUACAGAUCGCUUUGAGGAGAGGAGCGUAAAAGGAAAAAUGGGAUUGGAAGAGUGGUGAUUUAGGGACGAAUAAGAACCCUAGGGGCAAAGUGGACAUUUUGCUUCUCCAACUUACACGGUUUAAAGGAUUUGACAGAAGGAUCAAUAUGCACAAAGGAAAAUGUUUUCAAGGACAAUCAUGCAAACAACAAUUUUCCAGAGAUUUACAUGCAUUAUUAAACAAUUUUAGGGAGGACUAAGUGACUAAGAUGCCAAAAAAGUAAAAGACAUUUCUCAAAUUGAAAGUUACAAGUAAUCGAAGUUUCACAACGAGCUGCUUGACUUACCAUCUCUAUGUACUUUAGAUGCUUGAGGACAACUUCAGUUUCAACCUCCUACAAUGAAAUGCAAGAACGUAUUAGGAAAGAAACAUAGUAAAAAAGUAUUAACAUGCUCACGUGUAAUCAAAAGCACAAAUACAAGAAAAAUAUAUAACAAAGUACGAGCACUAGAAAUCACAUGAGAUUUAAAAAAGAAAGCAGCUAAAACAAUAAAAAAGUAGACAUUGUACUUCCUGUCUUCUGAUGGAAAACAUUAAACUCCAAAGCAAGUAGAAUUCAAGGCUUAAGCUGUCUACAUAACAAAACAACUGAAGUCACAACAUAAAUCUCACGGAGCCUAUGGACCCAUACAAGAUGUCUCUUAAACUUUAGUUUAAUUCAUCUCGGAGUUACUUAGAUCCUACAGGACCGCCAAAUAUGAGAAUAAUCAGUUCACAAUUAACUGCCAGUAAUAACUGAAGUGCAAUUGAAAAAGAAUGAAGAAGAAAUUCCGUGCUGCUAGACAGCUUAAAUUGCUUCAAAAUUCUUUUCGACAAAAAUGUUUGAAUGGAUUUAACUAACUUUACACAUCCCCUAAAAGAUCCCAUGCUUCAUUGCCCUUACUUUGAGGUAAUCUCAAGGCAUCUCCACAACUCAACCCAGUAGACUCAAUAAGUUGUUGACUAACUUCACAAGUCACAAUUACUUUCCUGGCAACACCAGAGUUCUUCUUAAAUUAUUACAAUCCCUUUUGACAUUUAAAAUACUUGUAUCAAGAGACGUGUCAGAGGAGUGGAUAUAACAUAAACGUGCAGAAAGAACUGUAUUCCCCCAUGUAUUACGAUAAUGCCUUAUGUUAGGUUUUAAGUGUGCAGGAAAAUCAGGAUGAUGAACUAACUUACGAAAGCAUGGAUUCUUGUACUACAUAUGCCACUAGGCACGGAACAAAAAUAUAUUUCACAUGGGCGCAUCAUCUUCAAUAUUACCCCUGGCACUUAGUACUAUCUAUUUCCUUCCAGUUCUUUAGUUUUCUUGUAUAAGAUAAGCUUAGAUGGUCCUGAAAUUUCAUGCUAUUAUUUUCCCUGUUGGAAACAAGUCCCGCCUUCUUUCGCAUUCAAAAGACCUAAAAUUGCCGAGUACCAGGCAUACCACAGUAUGUAGCAUGCCAGCCAAUCAAUGGCAUGCACCCAUGCACGUCAUAGCAAACAUCAUAUACACAUUCACAUAAGUAUCUACCAGUGGUACACCUUUACCUUGGGCAAAAUGGAAUAGUUAGAUUACAUUUAGGAAAUAUGAAGAAAAUUCAACAGGAGAAAAACGUCCAAGUUAUCGCUUAACUCCUAAAGCCAACUAUCAGCUGCAAUGCUUCCCUACUGCCCUACGUAAGUACACAGAGCACUUAAUUAACAUUGAUCAGGGAAGUACACCCUUUAAUGAACAACAAGAGCAGAUGGUGCCUGAUGAAUUACAACCCAGAAGGGUUGCUAUAGAAAAAUCUACAGAUUCCAACGUUUCGAGAAACAAAGACAAGGAGAAAGCAAUGCAUUACUUAAUAAAAAUUGCCAAAAGUAUGAAACAAGAAAACUCUUGAAAAGUUUCUAGAGAUAGAAAAGAAGCCAAGCAAUGUGGUCUAGGAUAGAGUACUCUUUCGUAUAUAUUUUUUCGUAUAUAUUUUCUUUUAUACUGCAGAACUAGUAAAUAUCAGGUAUCAAUCAUGUCGUAACACACAAGACAUGAGGCAUGUCACACCAAUUGCGCUACACAGCAGGGAAUCAGAGACGUAGGAUGUGCAAACACUAGUGGUUAAAGCUUUCAUUAACAGUCAACAAUUCUGCUUAUAAAAAUUAACACAUCACUAAUUGCAAUAUAAUAACAAUAGUACCAUUUGUUCAGAUAUAUGUAAGACAAACUGAUAGAAACUGUCCAAUGAAUUAACUUGUGAUGACCAUAUUACAGCAUGAGACCAGAUAACAGCAUAUUGUUAGAACCAGUAGAACAUGUUAUUUUGAAAGUUGCAUUCAAAAUAUCAGCACAACUAAUAUGUAGCAUUACCUGAGGGACUGCACAAUCAGCAUGAAAUGGAUCCCAAGGCAAAGCACAGGAACAGUCCCAUUCAUCAGUUUGAACUACGAAAAGAGGAGCCCUAAGAAAAUGAUGUAACGUAGUUAGGUAAGAUGAGCAAUAAAGCAUGACACAUAAUUAACUUAAAAGUGAAAAGCAGCUCUUUUAUUUGAAAAGCUAACAAUGAUUAAUGCCAUCUAGUGCAUGGCUUAUGCUAUAUUUUACCUGCGCCACUUCCCACAUAUAGUUCCCUCAUUGCUGUCACUUGUAUAUAAGACGUCUUGACAUUGAAUCCAAUUACCAAUAGAUGUUGUUUUUUGUGGCUUAUAAUUAUUCCAACACUGAGGAAAAUUAUUUUUUGUAAAGAAAGUCAAUACUAGCUGGAAGCACAAACAUUUAUGUAGAAUAACUGAAAGAUAUAUUUUGUUAUUCUUACAUCCAGACUAGCACAUUCGGGUGAAUCCAGGAGGGAGAAUUCUAGAACAGAAUCGGAAUCACUGCAUUAAAUGUAUAAGAAAACAUCAAUAAGAGAAGUCACUUAAUGCGAGAAGUUCAAAUAUAUAAGAAAACAAAAGCUAAUAAAAGCCAUCUAUAUGCCAAUAACAGUUUCUCUUUAAGGACUUACUGGUCAUAGUUGAUUCAAAAGCCGUUAUGAAAUGAACAUAAAAAAUGGACAAAAAGGAAAGAAGCUUUGAAUGAAGAAGUCAUUAAUCAUUAUCUGCUCAUGCAUAAAUAAUAGGUUGAUAGCAUUGAUUGGAGUCAUGAAAGAAUCUGCUUGCCACAACCAUUAUUGUCAGAGCCACCAUAUCUCUUUCGAGCUUUGCCGAUCCUAACUUAUCGAGAAAAAACUCUAAACGAUAAUUUGAGCUUCUUCAGAAUUGUUAUAUAUAAUAGGUAAGCACAUACGGGACGAACCUGAACUAUGGCCUAUUUUGGGACAAUUAUCCAACCUUAAGUGAGUUUCGAGUUGGCUUUCUCAUUUCAAUUCGUUUGGUACGAGCCAUUAAAUGGCUCUUCUGUAAUAUAAUUUGGGCAUGCCAUCUGCUUUAGCGGACUUCAUUAUAGUAUAGCAUGUGACUCCAUCCCGUUAAAACAUAUGACACGUAGAAAUUUUGCAACAAAGAGCGAUCAAAUUAAUUGAAAGGCUAGGUAGAAAAAUCAAAUUCUUAAAGGUUGGAUAGUCAUCACAAAAUGUGUCAUAGUUCAAGUCAGUUGUUGACUCAGAUAUGUUAUACCUAAAUAAAACUAUUGCCUAUCCAUAGCAUUUAAGGCCUUCCGCUUUCUAUGUAUAUUCCCCCAUAGAUAGUUUUUCCGUGCAAUCUCCUAAUGGGUUUCAUUCAGAAAGGGUAAAGACGCUGGAACUAAUGUAACUUUGGGUCAUUUGGAACAACUUCCAGCAUUCAAAAAUUUUGAUUUAACUAUUUGAUCUUUUGAUUUGUUUGAAUUGCCUCCUGAGAAAUUAUUGCCUGCAUGUGGAGCAUCCAUACAUUUGCCCAUCAAGUAUACAUCUAUCGUUGAUGCAUCUCUGGCUUUUAAUCCAGCCAUUCAAUUAUUAAAUAUAGAAAACUACAACUCAUUGAAAUGAGGUUAGGCAUCAAAUGGGCAUCAAAUGGGCAUCAAAUUGGCUGGAUGCUGAUGAAGGUUUGGUACACAUGUAUGGAUCACUUUGUGCAGGAAAUAGUUUCUUAGAGCUCCAAAUCAAACAAAUUGAAAGGUUAGGUAGUAAAGUAAAAAUUUUCCACAGUUGAGUAGUUCUUUCAAAAUCCCAAAGUUCAUGUUAGUGACGUGUGUUUUUUACCUUCUUAAAUUUCCUUUGCACAUGUGCAAAGCAAUCAAAUUCCAAGUACCUCUUUAAUCUACCUUUGCAAUCGCAGCUGGGUAGUUUCAUUACUCCAAAAGCUCAUUCCUUAGUCUACCGGUAUGAAAUUGAUUUUAUGCUAAAGAUUGUCCCCUAGAACCAAAAAGUCUCACCUCAAAAAAAGUCCCGUGAGGCAGUUUCUAAUAUUUAAAUCAGUUUAAACUGACAAAAACUAACAAUUAUGACAAAUAAAAGAAAAAUAAAAACAAGGCAAAGCAACAAUUUUUGGUGCAUUUAGCGAUAUGGAUAUAUUGCUUUAGCCAAAAUUGUUUCACAAUUUGGUGGUUUGGGAGUGAAUAUUUAGUUUUCAAGGUAGUUUAAGUCUACAGAUCCAUGGUAAAAUCAAGUCUAGAAGGACUGUUAAAAAUCAAAUCUGAUGAUCAGAAGUCCAAAAUAUUGAAGCAUAGGGUAUGUCCACCCUAGUUAUGACUUAAAUAACACAGAUACUAUCAAUCUCCUUGUAUUCUAGAAGAUACUAUUGAGCUUGGGGUGAAAUCUCCAUUUUUGCAAUAAAACUAUGGGGCCUAAAAGCCCUUUCAGCUUUCUGCUAGAACAAAAGCUUCAAUAUCUAUUAGCCAAAAUAUGGUUUUCGAAAACUACUUUCUAGAGUAGAGAGUUAUUCUGCAAGCCAAGCUAAACAGGCAAUUAGACUAUGAAAUAAGCUACUGAUGAAGUUUAAAAAUAAAAAGGAAAGGUCCACCAAUGCUAACUAUCACAAAACAUAGAUUGAAAUUUGCAAAGCAGAAAGAGAGGAAAUGACAGGACAUACUCAGCAAUUGGACCGGACCAUGCAGGAACUUCUACUUGGAAAGCUUUACCGAUUCGAACACGGGAUAUAUGAGGCCGGCUAUCUCUCAACAUGGCUAAAAGCGGACCCAAAUCCCCAUAAGACACAUUUUUUUCUUCCUCGGGAGUUGUGCCUGUGAUACAGGAUGAAACUGUUUCUUUACUUCUAGAACACGGUUGACAGUACCACUCAACAUUUCGUAACUUCUUGACUCUUGGGCUGCAGCAAGUGACAUGAAAUGCUUCCUCACAAAGGUCACAAAUUAACAUCUUCAAUGGAUUUUCUGAAUGACCACAAGUUUUGCAUUUUAAAAAUGAAUUUGGGUCGUCGCUUCCAAGAAAUUCUAAAGAAGCCAAUUCCUUUUUUUCACAUACACUGCCGAGCAAGCCAUGAUUUUUAAGUACUGAGAUGCAUAAUUCUCUCUCUGAAAUGAGCUCAUCCAACACUAAAUUAGCAAUAGCAUUUCCAGAAGAGGAGCACUCGCCAGUAUCCUUCACCCCAUUGUUACAUGAAGAAACAUUGGUAUUAUCUUUUGGUGAUAGGUACCUUUCAUUUUUCCCACAUUUACCUUCUACAGCAGAACAUCCAUCCUUAUCAUUAUUAGCCCUCACUGCUGAAUUUUGGUCUUUGGAAGUUAUUCUCGAAUAAUAGGCACCACUUUCUUUAGAAAAUCCGUCUGUAUUUUCUUCCGAUAAAAGGGCAACACCGUUAUACUGCAAUUUCCUUCUUUUGUAGACAAAGCCAUCCCUCUUAGGCAGUGGACUUGAUAUAUCAGAACAUGUCGACAAUUCAAGAACCUUGCAUUUAAGUAAUUGGUUUUCUUCUGUUCUAUGAUCAAGACAUUCUCUGCAGCUCUCUGAAGGGCAUUCCUCACAGCUCGAGCACAACUGCCAAGUUUUAGUAAAGUGUGGCCAAUCGUAAGAUGAAUCCAUGUUCUCUUGUUUCGUAAUGGACAACGUUGUGCUCAGAGAAUCAGGAAGAGUGCUUUCGAUCAACAUGUCACCUGAACAGAUGUCUAGCCUAGUCACCUGAACAGAUGGACAACGUUGUACUUAUUGCACGUUGAAAGGCAUAUGCUCACAUAGGCAAAUUAUAAACCUUGAUCUUGAGAAUAAACAUCCUGGAAGGAAAAACAACUACCAAAAUGAAAAUGAGUCUCGAUAAAAAGAACGUGGAGUCCAAAUAUGCAAGUGAUUAGCAAAGAUAAACAUGAAUAAUGGACUAAAUGGCCAAGAAAGAGAAGUAACAAUAGGAAACAAGUACUGCGACAAUAUUUUUUUCACGCACCUACUUUUAGGUCAUUGUACAUCACUUACCAUACAAUACAAAAAAUUGCCAAGGAAAUAUAGUGUAGUUGCUAAAAAAAACAUAGUGCAACUGUGCAAGAUUCAGUUAUAAGUACAAAUUUAGAACAAAGGGCUGGUUUAUUAGUCUACGGGUUUUAAGAAUUUAAAGAAAGAAUGAAUAUAUUAAGGACAAAUAAAAGAAAAAUUAAACAAGACGGCAGAAAGGUUUAGUAUAGAUUGAAGGAGAAUGCAUACACAGAAUUGAGAACUACUAAUAAAACUCAGGUCAAUGAUCCAAUACGGCAAGAAUCUUGGGUGAGCAAUAGAAUUAAUGAUUAAGGUUGGAGGACAGAGUGAAGGGCUCUAGUUAGUCUUCUGAAAUUGACUAAUAACACAAGUACUAAAAGUAGAAUUUGCAGGACAAGGCCCUGCCAUGCUUUAUGAUAUCAAAUGUUGGGCCGUUAGGAAACAAAGAAACAUAUACAAAAAUGAUAGCAGUGAAUAUGAUAAUGUUAAGGCAGAAGAGUGCAACAAACAGAAUGAUAUAACAAUUAAAUGAAGACAUCCAAACCUAAGAUAAGCAAACUCAACAGAGGACAAAUAAAACAGAAACAGACAAAUGUGCCAACCUCCAAAAAUAAAGCAAAAUAUCCCAGGAAGAUGAUGUGAAAAACGUUGAGAGAGGCUGCACGGUUAUAGAUAAUAGGAUAUAUUUAGCUGUAUAUAAAGCUAGAGGAAUGGAUCGAUCAGAGUAAGGUUGAAGAUCCCACUUCAAUUCUUCAAGGAUUAAUAAAAACAAACCUUACUUUGCAUGGAAGACAGAAGUUUCUGCCUGAAUUGAAUUGAGGUGAGUUUAGUAAAACAACAUGAUUUGCAAAUAUUAAGCUUGAAUUUUCGUCUCCACCCGAAGCCAGAAGUUUCUGUCUUGAAUUGGGAUUCAAAGCUGCCUGCUGUUGGUUCAAGAGUAUUCCAGCCAAGGUUUAAAGUGCCGUGGCACGGGGGCGUGCCGUUACGUCCCUGGCACGGUACGGCACGGGCACGCUUGCGUGCCAACACGUGGCACGCUUGCGUGCCGACAGAUACGCACGACCUCCUGCUGGCACGCUUUGGCACGGACUUAUUUUAGCUUUUUUGGUUCCAGUAAACUCUUAUAAUAUUAUUUUGAAAGAUUUAAACAAAAUAAUAUGAAUAUUUAUUAUGUACAUCUUACUAUACUCAUCAAAUAACAUGCAUGAAAGCUUUUUGUAAGUAAAAUACAGCUAUAUCUGAUAUAUAAUAGAAAUUAAAAUAUAAUAAUAAAAUUCACAGUACAAUAAUUAUUUAAAUUUACAUCUUUACAUAGAGAUGACUGCUUAAUUUCACAUAGAUCGUCGCGCUGGAUCAUAUGUCAUAUUGUUAUCUGCGGAUACAAGAUUUAUUUGACAAUAUUGAUACAAGUAUUGCUGGCAUUGUGAGAAAUUCAUAUAUUCCCAAUAUUACAUCUAUAUUUUUUAUUUUUUUGUUCUUAUUAAAAAUAUCUGAUCAAAAUUUGUUUAGGAAAUCGAUUUUUGUUUCUUUGAUUCAUCGAAAGUUUCGCGGUGCGACAAAUUUUGAUAAAAUAUUUUGUGAAGAAAAAAUGGAUGUCAGUGGUGGAAGCGGAGGGCUCGGGCCGACAUAUGGAUCAGAUAAAUAAUAAGUUAAAUUAUAAGUUUUUAAUUUAAUAAAAGAAAAACCAAAAAAAAAGCCAAAAGGCAAAAAAAAAAAAAAAGAAAAAGAGUUGACAAAAAGGCAUCACGAUGUCAAAAAAAUAAGAUAAAAGUGAAAAAAAUACAAUAUAGAUGGCCUGGGGGGUUGUAUCCCAGAGAACAAAAAAAAAAAAGAAGCCAACAAGUCAAAAAAAAAAAAACCCGGCGGCAUGCCGGUACGUGCCUGCGGCACGCGGGGGGGUGCGAUACCCCCCCUGUACCGUGCCCCUUUCUUGGGGGCACGGUACGGCACGGGGCGUGCCGUACGGCACGCCCCGGCACUUAAAACCUUGAUUCCAGCUGUAAUCCUGGAAAGUCCUUAAGGAGUUUUCAAGACAGAAUUCAGUUUUUUCCUCCCCGCCUACUCGUUAAUGAAGAAAUGGAAGGGAGAAUCUAGUUGAGUUCUAUUGAUUUUCAAAGUCACCUAGUGCCUUUUAAGUGUUUUGUUUGCAAGAAUCCUUGAGAAAUUAACUCACAAAAAUUUUUGCAAUUCCAAUCACCUUUUGGAAGAUUAUUGUGGGUAAAGUUCUGCAAAAAGAACAGUACUAAAUCCCCGUUUUAGGCUAGAUUUAGAGAUGAACAAAAACUUUUUAAAUGAAUGCUAAAGUAAUGGAAGAAUUUCUUCAAUCCUCAUUUCCUAAGACCCUGAAUAAAUACGAAAGAUCUAAAAAUUAAAAUCUAAGAAUGUGCAUUGUCUAAGGAAACAUAAGAAUUCAGAAGCUUAUUUAUUCUCUUCUAGAAUGAUAAAUAGUUGUCACCUCAAAGGCAAACACCUAAGCCAUAUUUUGUGCAUGCAAAGAAAAAAAAAGAAGAAAAAGGACGGUUGAGGAGUUUAAAGAAUGGCAAUAAUGCAUUAGGUGAAAAAGAUAUUAAAAGUUAUUCUAGAAAUCCUUCUUUACCAAGUGUUUAAAUUGGUAUUGGAUAUUUUCUUGUGAGCGGCGCGACCGAAGAAGAAUUCUACUCCAAGUGACUUGUUAUGCUUAUUUGGUGAAAACAGUCCAGAUUUUAGAGAUUAGAACUUACAAAUCAUUUUUUUGAGGGGAAGAAUUUAAUAAUUGUUUGUUCAAAAACUUAAUACUAUCCGGGAUAUUACAUGCAAUAAGAUGGUCAUUGUAGCAUAUAACACAUCCAAUCUUCGAAGUUCAAUAUAUAGUUAAAAUCUAAAUAAAAAGUAAAACAUUCCGGUUGUAUUGAUUUCUCAAACAACAAAAGGCCAUUACUUAUGGUUCCAACACCUUUAGCAGGGAUGGCAAGUUAUCAGGUUGUUUCAGUGUUCUAAAUAGCGGCCAGUACAACCGACAUAGCAGCCAAUAUAGCAGUGUUAAAGAUUAACCACAAUGCUAUGUAAUAAAAAGUGAAAUUUAGCAACCUAGGAUCGUAGUAACCACUGUAUUAGCCGUAGCAGACACUAAUUCUCAUAGCGGCCUCUAUAGUGCUCGAUAUAUAGCAGGUCCGUAUAGGACGCGUUAGGCCUCAAACCCAUAAAGAUUUUGGACAAGCUGAUUUUGGCGCAAAAAAAAAUCCUAAAACAUCCAAGAAACUCUUCAGGAAAUUAAAUAUAUUUUAUUGACAGAACAAUUCAAUCAUGUUUUUUUGUGGGAACACAACAAGAAAACUAAAGUUUUCUUCAUAUAGGGAGAAAAGCACACAAUGAUCACACUGGUUCACUAACAACUAAGAGGGUUUAUAGGCAGCUACCAAGGAUCACCAGCAAACCCCAAAGAUCACCAAGUACAAUUCAACUAGGAAUGUAGAACUAUAGAAAUUUGGAAAAACUACACACCUAUAUUUGGAAUAGAUGUAUUAUUUCUACCAUGUUAAAUAAAAAUGCAAUGAAGAAUAUAAGCAUUUCAGAAGUUUUGUCAAUCCCUUGUAUCGGCUCAUAGCGGUUGCUACGGCACCCGUAUCCACUAUCCAUUGUCUCUGUGUCUGCUAUGUGGCAUGUGCUAUUUACAACCUUGGUCGUUUAGAUUUGGGGCUGAUCGAGGUGGCAUACAAUGGGCAUAUAGACUUGAAUUGAGCCCUAAGAAGCUCAAGCUGGAUCAAUGCAAACCAGAGACACUGAGUACACGGGCUGAAAGAACGCAUCUUACUUACCUUAAGUAGGUCGGGUACAAGGGUUGACUUGACCAGAAACAACAUGCUCGGCAAAAUAAGGACAAUUUUAUCUUGUUUUCCUUUUUGAAGAAAAGGAAAAGAAAAUAGGAAAAAAGAAAAGGAAAAUAGGAAAAACAAAAGGAUAAUGAGUGGGGUGUCAUAACCUUUCAUUCGAUGAAUCUUUACUCGAAACCGACAUGCUCACAUGAUCUAUUUACAAGUUAACAGGUCACAUGCUCUUGACGUAAACCGGGUUUAUUUACCUCAUGGGUCACACAAAUGGAUUGUGCUAAGUCUACAGGUUAAAGUCAAGAUUACUAACCCCAGGUUUUCCAUCCACAAUGAAGGGCAGUUUAGCAGAGCCAAUCCCCAGGUCCCCAAAGAAAAUAUUUGGAGAUAGUCCUAAGCUUCUACAUUUUUUCACAUGAAAGGCUGCUCUCAAGACUCGUACUAACUUAUGGUUUUGACUAUUAAGCUUUUUUCCAUCGAACAAGCUUUAAGCUUUUUUCCAUCGAACAAGCUAUAAAAUCUUCGAUUUCAUACCAAAUACUCACCAUAAAUUCUAAAAUAGAAGUAUUAUGCAAAUCAAGCAGCCCAUUUUUCAAGUUUAAACAAUCUUACUCUACAAGACAACACUCAAGGUACUCAGGCUCAAAUUCAAUCAAUCUCCAAAAGCAGUUAAAGAAACAGGAGAUUUGAUACAAUAAAAGCACCAUAUCACACAUCUAUUUGGUCAUCAGGGAUGGGUACAUACUACCAAUUGCAAAAAUUGAGGAUAGAGUACCACCAAGAAAGGUAUUCCAAAAGGGCCAAAUCCCUAGUAACAUCCAUCUAAAACCUAGGUGGAAAGGAGAUAAAAAUUUCACAACCACCAUGACUGCUCCCAACUGUAGUCAAAUUCAUCUAGAAAAGGGAAAACCAAUUUAAGUGCAUAAAACCCUAGAGACUUUUACAUAAAUCACUUUUCUUCCAACAAUGACUAACGUCAAGAAGCCCAAUCCAAAAGGUUAAAGUUCACACUUCUCAAAUAUGCCUCAUCAACAAAUAUCCCAGGGUUCUUGUCAUUUUGACGGAAGAGAACAACAUAUCUAUAUCUAUUUCUGUACAAUUCUUACAUGCAAUUAUAUUUGAUAACUUCUCACGCCUCGUUGCACACUUCUUGUUAUUUUGCUAUUUCUACUUACGUAAUGACUUUCAACUCCCUUAAGAUCGUCGACAUGCUCUUUUACAAUUUUACAAUAACAUAAACCGCCGUACACUCACACAUCAACUAUGCUAAUCCUAGUAUACUUUCCGCAUACCCUUUCAUGUACUAUUCAUAGUUAAAACAACACAAAAUUGUAUGGAGACCUAGUGCACUAACAUGAUAAUUCGACCUAGUUCGAGAACUCGCUUAGCAAAUGACUUUCUCCCAUAGAAUGAACAUCGAACCAAUUCGGUCAUUUCACAAAAGAUCAACAAAAAUAAACCAAAAGGCAACCAUUUUUCCUGCAAACUGUACACAAAAAAACCAGGAAAAGAACAGCAAAGCGGAGCAGAUCCACCCGCUCCCUAAAACACCUAACAAAACAAGGAAAAUAACCUAAAAAUACAUAUUAAUCCGACCACAUCAUACAAGGAAAAAGAUCAAUUAUUAGAUCUAUAAUCUAAACGAAUUACAGAGAUCGGAUGAAACAAAAUCAAAUAGAUACAUCUAGAGAAAGAUCUAUCUCACCUUGCUAGAGAAUUGCUGCGGCGACGAAUCGAACGGAGAUGGAGGAGGUGAGAUCGGAGAUUGAGGGAGAGAGGGGUCGGAUUUUUCGGAAUCCGCCGCGAGGGUUCCGGGGAGGGUUCGGGGGGCGGAAAAAAUUUUGUUGGAGCCCUUAAUUGCACGAAUACCCUUUAAAAAGUCGACAAUUUCAAAUUUAAAAUUUCAAAUUAUAUUUUUAAAUAUUAAAAUUUUAUAUUUUAAAUUUCAUAAUUAUUUAUAUUUUUAAAUUUAAAUUUUAUAUUUUUAAUUAAAAUUUUAAAUUUUAAAUAAAUUUCAAAUUUCAAAUUUCAAACUUUGAAAUUUCAAAUUUCAAAUUAUAUUUUUAAAUAUUAAAAUUUUAUAUUUUAUAUUUUAUAAUUAUAUGUAUUUUUAAAUUUUUAUUUUAUUUUUAUAUUUUAUAUUUUAUAUUUCAUAUUAUUUUUAAUUUUAAAUUUUAAUUUUAAAUUUUAAAUUUAAUUUUAAAUUUUAAAUUUAAAUUUUAUCUUAAAUAUUAAAUUUUAAUAUUUAAAAUUUUAAAAUUUUUUUAAAUUAAAAUAUCAAAUUUUAAAUUUUGUACAAUUUUGAAAUUUAAAAAUUCUAAUUUUAAUUCAAAUUUAAAUUUAAAUUUUAAAUUAUUUUAAAAUAAAAUUUUUAAAAAAUAUUAAUUUAUGCAAACAUCAAAAAAAUUUUACCAAACAGCUUUUCAAAAUCACUUCUGAAAAAUCGCUUUUAUCUAAACUCAGCCAAACGCUCUAUAAGGCUUCAAGUCUAUAUGCUUUUACCCCAACUCUAUUUUAUCCGAUAGCGUCAGAAGGGCCUCAAUACCAAACUAAAGGUCCAUAUGUUGUUAUUAGAUAAAAUAGAGUUGAGGUAAAAUUAUAUAGGGAUAUGCUUCCAGCGUUCUUCAGUGGGACUCUAGAAAAUAUAUCGUAACUGACUCAUCGCGAUAUGCGGAACGAUAAUAUUACAUACGGAAACAAACAGGAUAUUUUUCUAACGUACUGCUCACCGUAGGUAAUGCAAUUUUUUUGCAAUCCCAAACGAAGCCUUAGGAUGUUUGGUAACCUCUGUUGUAAAAUAUAAUUUUUAUUUUAACAAUUAGGUUUUUAAUUUUAGAGGCUUCAAAAUUGUAGUCAUCUGCUUUGUAAAAUCAAAUAUAUAUUCUGGGUCCAAAUUUUAAAUUUAAAUCUUGAUUCAAGAUUUUAAUUUUAUAUUAAAAUUUAGAUUUUAAAUUCAAAAUUGAUAAAUUUUAAAUUUCAACACUUUAAAAUUUAAAAUUUAAAAUUUUACAUGUUAAAUUUAUUUUAAAUUAGAAUUUGAUAUUUUAAAUUUUAAAUUGUAUAAAUUACUUUAAAAAGGUUUGUCAAACAAUUUUACAUAAUCGCUUCAAAAAAUUAAAAGGUUGGAUAUUCAAAUUAAAUUUUCAAAAGGACAGAUAGUUGCUUCAAAAUUGUUCAUAAUUCAGGUAUGUUUUAUAUGCUUUUACAAAAAAAAAUAAUAAUAAAGUACAAAAAGCCAAUCCAAAAUUUUAAAAUUUUAAGGGGUUUCAGGAAGAAAAGGUUAAUGUAAAAGGGGUUAAUUUCAACAAGGCAGAUAAAUGAGAGGUAUAUUUUUCACCCACUAAUAGUUAGAGGUGUGGGAGGAUAUUAGUAUAAAUUUCAAACUUUAACGGAGUAUAUUUAUGAUACUUUUAAAAUUUGGAAGGAUGUCUGUGUAAUUGUCCCUAAAAAAUUUGCAAAAUAUAUUGCUGGCUCUCUUUUGAUAUAUAUCUUGUCUAUAUUUUUUUUUUCAAAUUAAGUAAAACCAAUUUUACAUACUAUUAUAGUAUGUAUAAAUUUUAAAUAUUUUUUACAUUAGUCAAAACAAUUCUUUAUUUCAAUAUGAAGAACUCUUUCAAUAUUAAAAAUUCAGAAAGAGUGCCUAAACUCUUAGAAUUUUAAAUGUCUCAUUUAUUUUUGAGUUUUUAAAUUUUUGAAAGGGAGAUAUUUCAGGUUACUCACAAUUUUUACCUUUGUAUAUUAUUAACGUAUUAAUAAUAUAUAAGUUGUUGAUUAGUUUAGAGUUUUUAGAACGUAAUUUAAUAUUUUUUAUAUUAAUUUACUAAUAGCCUUAAUAAAAUAUUAGAGCAAUAUUAUAUAGAAUCUAUAAUAAAACUCUCUCAGCCUAUGCAGUUGAAAAAGACUAGCGCUACAAGUCUCUCAUAAUAUUAUACUUUAUAUUAUUGAUGUGUCGAUAAUCUUAUAUAAUGCUUUAGAAUGUGUACAUGAGUCCAUCGGAUUUUUCUCUUUCUUUGCUUGAACAGAAUCAAUUAUUGUUGAGUAUAGGCUUUUCCAAGCUCGCUCAAUUUCUUCACAUAUUUUUCUCUUUCUUUGCUUAAACCAAACCUGAUUUUUCUCUUUUUUUGUUUGAACGGAACCGAGUCAUAUCUUUGCAUUUUGCCCAACUGUUCCUCUUCCAUUUUCUUCGGUCGUUAUCUUCCUUCAUCAACAAGAUGAAUCUCACUCCUUAUCGUCGCUUCAUUUAACGUUGUUUUCUCUUCCUUUGUCGUCGUUUUCUACUUUUUCUCUAAUUAUCUAUCCAUUACAUCGUAUGAAUUACUAUAUUAGUUAUAACAUUCUUUGUAGGUGGAAUUAGAAGCAUUAAAUUUGAGCUUUUCUUUUUCGAGCAUUGUAUCUCAUUUUUGCUUAAAGUAGAUGCUCAUAAAUAUAUUAAUAAAAUGUUCUUGAAUGUAUAAUUAGGAUAGUAUUAAUUUAGAUGGUUUUUGGCUCUCGAAAAAAAAAAAAAAAGUUUUCUGGCCAGAAAAGCAAUUUCCAUCCAUUUGAUUUUCGGAAAAAGUGUAAGAAAAGUGUAAAUUUUUAUUUAAAAAAGUGUAAGAAAAGCAAUUUCCAUCAACGGCUGGGAUCACUCAAACUCAGAACCUCCUACUCUGCUACCAUGUGAAAGAUAAGCGAAAGAGUUUAUUCCCUUUCUAGAGUUUCAUUGAUACUAGUUAAGGGACCCGCGCAAUGCUGCGGGUAGUUAUUUUAAAAUUUAUUUUUAAAAAUUAGUUAUAAAAAUUAAUUUUAGAAUUUAAAUGAUGCAAUAGGUGCAUCAAAAAAUUUUAGUAGGCAUAGUAGUCCCCCAUUAGUUAGUGAAAUAAUUUUAGUAGGUAUCGUAGUCCCCCAGUAGUUAGUAAAUGAGAAGAUAAAUUAUUGCUUGUGAUUUUUGCAAUUAAUUUUCAUCAAAUAUAAAAGUAACUUAAACUGCAUCAAUUUUAUUUUAUUUUUUAAUGUAUAAUUUAUAUGUGAAUGCACAAUAUUAUAAAAUUAAUAUUUAUAUCUAAUACCAGUAGUCUAACUUAUUUAACAUUUAUUUAUAUAUUUUACAUUUUAUAAAAAUAAAUAGUAAAUUAUAUAAUAAAUUAUUAAAUAAUAAUAUAUCUAUAUACAAAUAAAAUACUAUAUAUAAUAAAUAAAUAUAUAUAAUAAAUAUAAUAUAUAUAUUUAUAAAUAAAAUUAUAUAUAUAUAUAAAUAAAUAAAUAUAUUUUAUAAAUAAAAUUAUAUAUAUAUAUAUAUAUUAUAUAUAUAUAUAUAUAAUAUAUAUAUAUAUAUAUAUAUAUAUAUAUUAUAUAGAAAGAGAGAAGAGAGAGGAGAGAGAGAGUUCGUGAGAGGGAGGUCCACCGUGGACCUCCCUCUCAUGUGGUCCACGAGGCCACUUCGGCCUCGUGGACCCCGUGAACACCACCCCUAUGAGCCCCGAUGUUUUUUCGGCUCCGCGCUGCGCCGCGCCGUGCCGCGCCCCGCGCUCGCGCCCUCGCGUGCCCCGCGCCCCGUGCCGCGCCCCGCCCCCGUGCCCGCUCCCGCAGCGCCAGCGCCAGAGCCCGCCCCCGCGUCGGCCCCCGCGUCAGCGGCCGCCCUUGCCCCGCGGCACCAGCGCCGGAGCCCGCCCCCGAGUCGGCGCCCCCGCCCGUGCACGCGCCGACCCCCGCGCCAGCGCCCGCCCCGCGCCACGCCCGCUCCCGCUCCGCGCCAGCGCCCGCGGCCGCCCGCGCCCCGCGCCCUCGCCCAUGCCGCGGCCUCCUCGCGACACGUGUGCAGUUAUUGAGGAAUAAUAUAUAGUUAUUAUAGAUUAUAGAUGUUUAUAUAAUUACAAGAGAUGUAUAUAUAGUAACCAUUGUUACCAUAUAACCUUAUAGUGUAUUUGGAAUGUACUAUAUAGGUUCCAUUAUAUAUGUAAUGUUAGUAUAUACAUGUUAAAAACAUCUUAAUAUACUAAAUAUAUCCUAACAAUCCCAUACAUCAAUUUCUGCAGAAAGGGAUACAAAACAUAAAUAGAUCCACAUUGUGCUAAUAAAUUUUGUAACACCUUAAAUUACAUUUCUUAUCUAGCAAUAGACAUCAUCUCCACUGUGUCAUGCAUCAUCAACAGAUGGUUACUUUAAUAUGCUGAUAUACAGAGUCUCAUGCAAACAACAAGCAGUUCAAGCCCGAGAAACUCAGAAAACAAUCGAAAAAAUGGGGGGCGAAAAUAAAGACUGAAGAAGGUUAAACAAAAAAUUUCCUCAGGUUCUCAUUGUUUUGCUGUGGUUCCAUCUGUUAAAUAAUUAUAAGAGGUCCCAGAUCCUUCUACAUGGAAAAUAAGCAUCAUUUCCACUUUCAUUCCUUAUUAUUACAAUCUCGUAACCCCAUAUGAGUAAAAUGAAUGUAGCAAAAGGGGAAGGGAAAAAAAAAAAAAAAAGCAGGUGAUAAUUGUGUAGUGUAACAAAUUUCCUGUGUAAGUUCUAACCCUUAACUUAUUAAGCCUUUCAUCAGGUAACAACCUCUUUGCACGAGCCACUAUGAAUAUCCACUUCUCUGUUGCACAAUUCGACAACUUUGGUAGGCGCCUUUGCUUUCAACAUCAUCUCAGCAAACUCGUCCUCAGGCUUCGAUAAUGCUACAAUAGCCCCGCCGGCCCCCACCGACGCUUCACUAUUGUGUAAAACGACAGUCCGAAUCACAAUAUUUAGAUCGAAAGUCUGAUUGUAUGAAAAGAAUCCGAUUGAUCCAGAAUAAACACCCCUCGAGCAGUUUUCUAGCGAAUCAAGAAUUUCCAUCGACCUAAUUUUGGGUGCACCGGUCAUUGAUCCUCCUGGAAAAGCAGCUUUUACGCAGUCCAUUGGGCUCAAGUCGGGUUUUUUCCUGCCUUGGAUUGUGCUUACCAUAGUGUGGACAGUCGCGUACGAUUCAAUUUCCAUUAGGCGAGGGACGCGCACGCUGCCAGGAGUACAGACUCUGCCGAGAUCAUUUCUUAGAAGAUCAACAAUCAUUAGGUUUUCUGCCUGGUCUUUCUCACUAUUUUGAAGAUUGGCAUAGACAUUUGACCCCAUAGAAAGAAAAAAAAAAAAAAAAGAACACAGGUGAGAAGCUUGUCGGAUAGCAAGUGUUGAUCUCAAACAUCAAUAACAAAUUACAACAGGAAAGAAAUAAAAGUAUGAUUCUCAAUAUGGGAUUUCCGGAUAUGCGUAAAAUUAAACGAAGGGUUCUCAACCUUCUUAGGAUCGAUUCUCAACCUUCCUGUUGUUGUAAUUGGUCCACAACCUUAGAAUUCAUUGCGAUCUUUACCCUUUCAGUUAUAUCCCUCCAUUGAAUUGGGGAGAAAUAUUCAUGUAAUCACCAUCUGACUGCCAUGUAAGCAAUUUUUUGGACUUCUAAUAUGGUGAUUGCAUUUGUAUUUCUAUGCAAUUUACCCAAGGAAUUUCCUAACAAGGAUAAGGACCCAAUUGUGAGACAAUUGAAAGGCCAGGAGAAGUCAAGCUGAGACCCCAGGUACAACUUAUAUUUUUCAGAAAUUUUACAUGAAAGAAACACAUUUUUAUCACUACAGCUAAAAACUGAAAAGAGACAAAAGAAUAGCUUACACACUUGCCUGUAUUGCAGCUGUAAUCUAAGUUGUUCAUCUUCUUCAGGUGUUCUGCCCCGUGCUAUAGUACCUUUAAUAGGUUUCGCCUCCAGAGUACCGCUCUUGUCCAAUCGCAGAAACCUUUCAGGAGAAGAGCAGCAGAUACAUAGAUUUUCUUCAGCAAAAUUCAACCAAGCCGCAUAAGGGGCCGGAUUUUGCUCUCUUAGGUUAAAGUACAGUUUUAGAGCAUUUAUAUUACCAACCCUUUUCCUCAUUUGUGUUGUUAAACACAGUUCAUAGCUUUCACCAUCUCUGAUUAACUUCAAGCACUUCUCGACAUCUUUUAUAUACUGAUUCUUUGAUUUUUCAACAACAAAACUUCCCUUGUUUGGAACUGAGCUACUAGACAGUCGUUGCUCUUUGAGGUUUAUUCUCGUUGAGCCUAUAGUACUUAACCUGAGAAGCCUCCUCUCUGCCUCAAUCAACCAUGAUUUAUCAUUUGAUCUGUCACUAUGAAUAUCAUGGAUUGAUAGAAUAUAUACGUCUCCAUUGUCAUGAUCGAUCGCUACAAGGUUAUCAGCAAAGAAAAAACAGGCAUCUGGAGUGGUUGAUUUGUAUUUGUUAGAUGACGCUCCACAUUCAACUUUAAGGCCAUACCUGGUUUCAUCAAUAAAGAUACAGUAAAUGCAAAAGAGCUUCAUUAAGCCUUGAAAAAUACUAACAGAAUUAUAAAUUAAUUAGAUGAAAUAGACAGUAGACUAAAGUAUAUACUGAGCAUUUUUUUUUCGUCUAAUAUGAUCCAUACAAUAUUUUUCUUAUGAUCAGUUCAACAUUUCUCCACGAGGAAACAUUAUCAAACAAAGUAAGAUUCACACUGUUCCCAUUCAUUAAAGACACUGCUCACUGCUGCAAUUACUAAAAGAUCGAUCUGAUAGGAAACAGCAUACGAAUUUGUCUUAAGAGAAUAAACUGUGGCAACCUUCUACUAAUUAUCCGGCGUUAACUAAAUUGAUGUAAGUUCUUUAAUCUGGUUCAAGUGCAUGUCCACGACUCCUCGAAACUUGAUUCCAAGAGGCUAACUUGAUGAAGUGGAUUUUCUAAAGCACAAAAUGUAAUUGUCUUGACAAAGUUGGACAAAUGAUUCAGAGAUUAUCCACUUCAUCAAUAACUACAAAAAGCUAGCACUACUCUUGAAUCAUAUUUUGUCUUGGUGAGACAAAAUAUCAUACUGUUGUCCUUUCUUAAAUUGUAAUAAAAAACUUUUCCAAUGUUGAACUUCUCAAAAUGUGGAUGGCUUUAAAUGUAUGCCAAAUUUCUCUCUCUCUGGUUUUUCUAGUGAGACUCCAAAUUUGCUCGCCGCCUUAAACCAUAACGAAGCAUGAACAGAUUAUGGUGUUUUUCAUUGGUUCAAAAGUGCAUAAACAAAAUGGCGACCAUCCAGCAUCGUAGAACUCAUAAAUAUUAAUUAUGCUGUGAUUUCAUGAAAAAUGUUAUAACUUAUAACAAGAUUAUUCUUUAACAUAAUUAAUAACAUACCCAAGGAAGCCAACAAAUCCACCACAGAAGUCGAAAGGCAAUCCUUCAUAAUCUUUUGUGUCAUAUUGAAACGACUGAAGUUCCUGACAAAUAUAUCCAGAAAUAUCAAAAAAAACAAAAUAAUAACCACUUCAGAGAAGCACAACCAGCAUGAAUUUAUGGUCUUAAGUAGAAACUACAUUGAUAAAACCAGGUCUUAGCGCUGACCAAAAUGGUAACAAUUAAGGCUAAUAACAGAUCUAACAAUAAAAUAUAAGAUUUUUAUGUGAUAAAACAUUUUUUAAAUAUGGAAUAUAUACCUCAUUAAGGAAAUCCAAAAACCCGUUCUUGAGAAACCUUGUGCUCACAGAUCCGUGGACAUCUUGAAUAGAAAGGUAACCUCCAAAUUUACUUGUUGCUUUACUGAAACAUAAUGUAGACGUCUGUCAUUGACUCUAUGUAUCAACAAAAGAAUGCUUAAUCACUAAAGAGAGGAGCAGUUAAACUAGCAGUGCUCUGUGCUUGAGAAAAAUUGUCUUCAGACCUUUGAUCAGAGAGGCGAAAAGUUAGUUGCUUCCACAAUGGACCUCCUUUACCACCCAUGAAUGAAAACCGUGCCCUAUUCUGAAAGCAAUCACAUGUACAAAUAAAAAAAUCAACUGACAGUAACCUACUAAUCCAAAUAGCAAAAAGGCCAAUCACCAACAGUUACACAUAUAGCAGGAGAUAGCACAUAAGAUAUUUAAAUGCUGGACGUUUUUGAUGUACUGUUUUAGGGAUGUAUAGUUGCUUUAGCAUCUAUUUUUUUAUUAUAAAAAGGCAAGUUACUAAUAAAGAGCUUCUGUGGCAAUUUUCCCCUAUACAUGUGACACAACAAUAGAGACUACACACACAGCUUCACCGCUGCAAUCAGGAUUUGUUCAUAAAAGAGCCAUUCAAGUUAGAAAUUGUAGUUAAGUCUAUGCCAUAAUACUUGUAUCNCCAACACACAUAUAGCUAGAAUACUCAUAAUAGUAACCGGCUUGUUUUACUAUGGAGUCAUUUUCAAAGAUGGGAUUUCCGAAUCAAUCAACAGAGCUAAACAUGAUCUAAAGUAUUUGAAGUAUUUGAAUACCGAAUUCCGUAAUAUUUUAAAUCAUUUACCUAGCGAUGAAAGGGUUCAAAAUAGACAAAUUUUUAACAGUCUACAUAAGCCAUUUGCUCGUUUAAUAGUGUGGAGCAAUCCAAAUCCAUUGAAUUUUUAACAGAAAAUUCUUUCCACUAUCUAGAUCAUGUUCAAUAACUCUAAUCUUGAAUUGAAAAAUUCUAACAACAAUUUUCACAAUGUUAUUCAUUUCGACCGCUCUCUUUGUAGUCACUUGAUGGACUUGAUAACAAUUUAAAAAAGCCAUAAAACCUGGUUAUUAGAUACUUUAAAUGCUUUAGAUCAUAUUUAACGAUGUCGAUUGUUAAUUCAUAUGCCCCAUCUUCAAAAACAAUUUGAUAUUAAAAUGGCCCAUUUACACUCGAGUAUUCUAGCCCAACUAAGGAUGUCAACCGGUCGGAUUCGGGGCGGAUGUUCAAAAACCCGAACCCGAACCCGAACCCAACUCCAAAACCAAAACCCAAAUCCAACCCGAAUCCGACAGAUUUUAAGAAUCCAUAUCCAAACACGAACCUGACCAAAAAUCCGAAACCCGAACCCGAGCCCGAACCCGAAAAUCCGAACCCGAAACAAUUAUUUCUCUUUUCAAUAUUUCAAAAUAUAUUACAUUAAAUCUAAAUAUUUAAAAUACAAGUUCAAAUAUAACAUCAAACAUAUAUAUAUAUAUAUAUAUAUAUAUAUAUAUAUAUAUAUAUAUAUAUAUAUUAUAUAAUGUAAAAUAAAAUCGUGACCGGGUCAAAUUCCGGUCGGAUUCAGGUUCGGGUCGGGUACAAUUAAAAUCCAUACUAGAAUCCAAAUCCGUCGGGUUUUUGUUUUUAAUAUCCAUAUCUGAAACUAUAUCCAUUUAGCAUCAAGUAAAUCCACUUUGUUCGGGUUCGGGUUCGGGUUCGGGUUCGGAUAAAAUUUCGGGUAUCCGCAUCCAUUGACAUCCCUAAACCCAACUCUCUCUCUCUCUCUCUCUCUCUCUCUCUCACAAACAGAAGCACAAAGGCCUCCAUACAUGUAAGUUGUUUUCGAUGAAGAAACUUUCAAUUUGACGAUUAGCUCCGUUAGACUUGAUAUAGAUUAUUUAAAGUAUCUAAAAAAUAAAUUUCAUAGUUUUUUAACACAAUUUACCUAAUAAUCGAAAAGGCUCAAAAUCAACAAUUUUCAUAGUCGACAUGAGCUAUCAAAUCAUAUGAAAUUUUAAUAGAAAAUUUUUGCAUACUAUUUAAAGUAAGAUAAGUACCUCUAAUCUAAAAUUUUAGUAUUGUAUCGUCAUCUUUCAUGAGAUUCUUAUUUUCAGCCAUUUAUUUUGAGCCCGCUCAAUCACUAGGUAAAUGAUAUCGAAAAUCACAAAAUUUAUUUUUAGAUACUUCAAAUAGUCUAGAUCUGGUGUUAAUUAUUGAUUCGGAAGUCCCCUCAUCAAAAACAAUCGGGAAGCACCAAGCACAAAGCACAGAGGCCUCUGUGGUUCUAAAAGAGCAAUAUGUGUAUAUAUAUGUGGUAAAAGCAUCUCAACUCAGCAUUAAUUGGACGCUGGAAUCAACAUCAGUCACACCAUAUUGGUAUGUUGCUAUUUAGCGAAGUCAUAAAUGCAAGUAUCUUCUAAGUCAAGCAUUAAACUGACUUUUUAGAAAUGUUUAUGGGCUAGCAUCAGCAUCUGGCCUACUUUUUUACAAGAAAAAAAAGGACGGUAUGCAGGCAGUAAUAGAUAACAUAAC
RNAcentral lists this long non-coding RNA (67140 nucleotides) under Ananas comosus (pineapple). Its description in RNAcentral is "long non-coding RNA (ACOM_LNC009759)". The record is from RNAcentral. Lineage: Eukaryota; Viridiplantae; Streptophyta; Magnoliopsida; Poales; Bromeliaceae.